CUUCAGGGGCUCGUAUGUGUCGGAGCCCUUCUCCUUGACGUCCACUGCCACAAUGUCACCGUCGCCGUCGACGUACUUGACCAGCAGUGCCAGGUAGUUGGGGCCGCACCCCUUUUCAAGGUGGAAGGUGACCUUGGAGUCGUACUUGCACUUAACCCUUCGGAACUGCAUGUCGAUGAUGCCCGCCUUGCGUAGCUUCUCCUCCUCGCCCUUCUUGGCCAUGGCGCCGAACGCCGUGCCUGCUAAAUCGAAGUGGUACGCCGCGAUAGGCUCAUAGUUCAUGUCCGUGAUGUGCACCACCACGGGCUUGCCGGAGCACUCCACAGGCUUAUCGCACUUGAUCUCGAAGCAGGACCCACAACCCAGACCAUCCUUGAAGAUGGGGAUGUUGCCGCAUGCGCCCAUGCUAUUGAAGGGGGGCUUGUUCACGUCCUUGUACCCGCAGCCGCCACCGUUGUCGUCGGGACCGGCACCCGUCGGCUUGCCAUACCAUGUCGCUUUAGCGUCCAACCAGUCCUUGCCAUAGGUGGCCGUGAUGUUCUUGCCUGGGGGGACUUUGGGAGGACCGCACCAUGCGCCGCUCACCAAGAACACCAACGCCACAGCCAUCGCAACAUGUGCCCGCAUCGACGACCACAUGGUUCUCACAUUCACAGCCAUGUUUUGUCUUGGAUUAGUGAAUGGUACUAUGCUACGAUGAAUGAGAGGGUAGGCCUGAAUUUAUGGUUGUGUGUGCCAACGGUUGGACGAUCGAGCUUGCAACCGUGAAGCGCGCGCAUGCAUGCACCAACGAGGAGGUAGAGUUUGCAUGGUCGAGCGAGCUUUUCUCUUGGCCACCAGUUUACUAAUUGGUUCCGUAAGUCGAAGGCGACCAUGCAUGGUAGCUCUGCAUGCAAAGCUGCUCGUAUCGUCGCGAUACUUAUGCCAUGGUGCUACUUUGGCUAAUGGUGAAGCGAGGACUCUCCUUCUUCUCGCUUUGAAAGGGAAAUAACCUCAACAUUUCCUAUAAUCGAUUUUGGUGUUUGACGUCCAUCACAAAACCAUAUGGACUAAUUAGUUUGCCUAGUGGACAUUUUUCCCACGUGCAUAAAGUUCACAUAAACAUACAAAGAAAAGGACUUGAGUGAAUUCUACAAAGUUUGGAGCAUACAAGUUCUUGUGCUACCAGUAGCGCACCGGACACUGUCCGGUGUGCAUCGGACACUGUCUGGUACCCUGGCUGAGCACCUCGCGAACUGGUCGCUCUCGGGUUUUCUCAGCGUUAGUCCGCUAAAAUUCAUCGAACUGUCCGAUGCACCACCAGACUAUCCGGUGAGACAACGGAGCAACGAUCAACUUCGCUGACUACAGGGCAGUCUGCAGCGCAGAAGUCAGAAGUCAGUCUGCAAAGUCAGAACACACCAGACUGUUCGGUGUGCCACCAGACUAUCCAGUGCCACAAGAAGACAGUAAACUUCAACGGUCAAUAGCUCCAAACCCCAAUGGUCAACAGCUCCAAACCCCAACGGUCGACUCACGUGGCACUCACCGGAUAGUAAACAAUGCAGUGUUCCGUGCACCACCGGACUGUCCGGUGUGCCCAUCUACAGCAACGGCUGGAAUAGUGGUUAGGGCUAUAAAUACCCCCGACCACCACCAUUCAAGCCACCCAAGCAUUGCAACUUCCUCAUUCAAUACUAGAGCAAAAGAAUACACUCCAAACACACAAUCAAACCAUCAACCCCUCUCCAAGCUUCAAAAUCAAGUCAAGUGAUCAAAAGUGCUUAGUGACUUGAGAGAGGGUGAUUUGUGUUUGUUUUGUUGCUCUUGUUGCUUGGUUGCAUUCUUCUUCUCAUUCUAAACUUCUCAAGUGUUUUGUAAAGCAAGCGAGAGACACCUAAUUGUGUGGUGAUCCUUGCGGGGUCUUAGUGACACGUGUGAUUAAGAAGAUGCACUUAACCGGUCUAAGUGACCGAUUGAGAGAGGAAAAGGGUUGGAAUAGACCCAGCCUUUGUGGCCUCCUCAAUGGGGAGUAGGUUCCUUGGAACCGAACCUCGAGAAACAAAUCACCGUGUUCACUUGAGUUGAUCUUUAUCACUCGAUUUGUUUCUUCCCUCUCCUCUCUUCCUAAAAGUUCCCUUGCUCACAUUGAUUUGAGUUUGAUACCAAAGUUAUCCGCAUUGAUUGAGCAACUCAAAGCAAGGAGAACUAUCUCCCGCUCUUCGAAUUUAAUAUUAUUUAUCUCUAACCCUAACCCCGUGUGAAGUGCGUGUUCAAAGUUUAUAAUUUUCAAGUUUCGCCUAUUCACCCUCUCUAGGCGACUUUCAUGCUUCCUAUGGAAGAAUGUCAUUGUUGCCACAUAUUUUUAAGUCAUUAUAUUGGAGCAAAGUGGCGUAACCAUGUCAACCUCUAUUAUUCGUGGAAACGAUCCUUCAGGGAUUGUCGCAAGUUAAUUGGUAUAUCAAAUGUGCGAAUGUAGGAUUUAAACAUAGCGUAAUCUUCAAGACUCCACAUCUAAAUGAACAACUAGAAAGAUGACUUGUCUAGACAAUUAUAGGGAAUUGAACCAUAAACAUUCGAGGUACUCCAAUUAUACAAAAAUGUAAUUAUGAGAUUCGUGUUGGACAAACGAGGUCAAAUUUAACCAAAUUUAUAUUCAGUAUUCUUAAUAUUUAUAUCAAAUAUAUUAUACUAGAACUUUUAAUACAUAGUGAAAUGAACUGCGAGCUUUCCAAAGAACCCCAACAUUCUUCUUUGCUAAAAAAGACUAUUUUGUAUGCGCAUGCAUAGGCAACUAAUUCUUCUAACUAGUUGUUAUAACAUUUUCUUUUAUAUAUACUAGUCAGUUGUCAGUAUGUUACUAUGGUUUUCAUAUUCACAAUAUUAAUAAUAUACAUUCUUUCUAGAACAUGAAUAAAUAUGUGUUUCAGUGGUUAGACGCUAAGCAUAGGAGGAAUGGUUCUAACCCUAGGUUCUACAUUUUUUGGAUUUUCUCAUGGGAGAACUUAACGCAUAAAGGGCGACAUCUUAAUUAAUGUUGGAAAUUGUACAAGUAAUGCAUGCAAACGGUGAAGACAGAAGUUUUAUCUCAUGAGUAGAAAGCUCAUGUUAUGUAACACAAAUGAACACCUUAGCGUCGACCUUCAAAGAACGACCAACACACGUUAAGGAUGGCCCUACAUCUAGAAUCAGCAUGUACUAUCAUAUAUUUCAAUUAGUCAUAAAAAAUAUGUAUUCUAUUAAAAUGUAGCCAUGCAUGAUAAAGUUAGGAUUACGUAGGAGAUACAUGGACAACACAACAUUCAUGGAUCCUUUUAUAAAAAAUGAAGGCCUAUCAAAUAUUUCAUUAGGCACUUAUUAUAUAACGUGUCAAUCCAUUUCUUAACUCUGAUCUUUUAAACAACAGCGAAGUCUCACUCUAGCUAUAUAUGGAGAUGAAGAAGAUGGAGAAGGAGGAUGACACCAUCAUUGUUGGCGCCAGCAUCACUGUCAUAAUAGGGUAGUGGUAGCAAAUAGAUAUCACGGUCCAAUGCAUGCAUGUGUAAUGCAUUGCUUGGGAUCCAACCCAAUCUAGUAUAGCUAGCAUAGGUCAGCUUAAAGUAUUGUCAGCACUAAAGUUAAUUAUUUGGCGGUGUAGGCGGUGUUGGCCUUCCAGUUGGCAGGGAUGACAUCGUCGUAGACGGACUUGGUGCCUCCCUCGGUAGUGAGGCGGACGGUGAGGGGUCCCUUAAGCGGUUUGUCGCUGUCCUUCCUCCAGAUGGCGCCCCAGGAGUGCUUCAGGGGCUCGUACGUGUCGGAGCCCUUCUCCUUGACGUCCACUGCCACAAUGUCACCGUCGCCGUCGACGUACUUGACCAACAGUGCCAGGUAGUUGGGGCCGCACCCCUUUUCAAGGUGGAAGGUGACCUUGGAGUCGUACUUGCACUUAACCCUUCGGAACUGCAUGUCGAUGAUGCCCGCCUUGCGCAGCUUCUCCUCCUCGCCCUUCUUGGCCAUGGCGCCGAACGCCGUGCCUGCUAAAUCGAAGUGGUACGCCGCGAUAGGCUCAUAGUUCAUGUCCGUUAUGUGCACCACCACGGGCUUGCCGGAGCACUCCACAGGCUUAUCGCACUUGAUCUCGAAGCAGGACCCACAACCCAGACCAUCCUUGAAGAUGGGGAUGUUGCCGCAUGCGCCCAUGCUAUUGAAGGGGGGCUUGUUCACGUCCUUGUACCCGCAGCCGCCACCGUUGUCAUCGGGACCGGCACCCGUCGGCUUGCCAUACCAUGUCGCUUUAGCGUCCAGCCAGUCCUUGCCAUAGGUGGCCGUGAUGUUCUUGCCUGGGGGGACUUUGGGAGGACCGCACCAUGCGCCGCUCACCAAGAACACCAACGCCACAACCAUCGCAACCUGUGCCCGCAUCGACGACCACAUGGUUCUCACAUUCACAGCCAUGUUUUGUCUUGGAUUAGUGAAUGGUACUAUGCUACAAUGAAUGAGAGGGUAGGCCUGAAUUUAUGGUUGUGUGUGCCAACGGUUGGACGAUCGAGCUUGCAACCGUGAAGCGCGCGCAUGCAUGCACCAACGAGGAGGUAGAGUUUGCAUGGUCGAGCGAGCUUUUCUCUUGGCCACCAGUUUACUAAUUGGUUCCGUAAGUCGAAGGCGACCAUGCAUGGUAGCUCUGCAUGCAAAGCUGCUCGUAUCGUCGCGAUACUUAUGCCAUGGUGCUACUUUGGCUAAUGGUGAAGCGAGGACUCUCCUUCUUCUCGCUUUGAAAGGGAAAUAACCUCAACAUUUCCUAUAAUUGAUUUUGGUGUUUGACGUCCAUCACAAAACCAUAUGGACUAAUUAGUUUGCCUAGUGGACAUUUUUCCCACGUGCAUAAAGUUCACAUAAACAUACAAAGAAAAGGACUUGAGUGAAUUCUACAAAGUUUGGAGCAUACAAGUUCUUGUGCUACCAGUAGCGCACCGGACACUGUCCGGUGUGCAUCGGACACUGUCUGUUACCCUAGCUGAGCACCUCGCGAACUGGUCGCUCUCGGGUUUUCUCAGCGUUAGUCCGCUAAAAUUCAUCGAACUGUCCGAUGCACCACCAGACUAUCCGGUGAGACAACGGAGCAACGAUCAACUUCGCUGACUACAGGGCAGUCUGCAGCGCAGAAGUCAGAAGUCAGUCUGCAAAGUCAGAACACACCAGACUGUUCGGUGUGCCACCAGACUAUCCAGUGCCACAAGAAGACAGUAAACUUCAACGGUCAAUAGCUCCAAACCCCAAUGGUCAACAGCUCCAAACCCCAACGGUCGACUCACGUGGCACUCACCGGAUAGUAAACAAUGCAGUGUUCCGUGCACCACCGGACUGUCCGGUGUGCCCAUCUACAGCAACGACUGGAAUAGUGGUUAGGGCUAUAAAUACCCCCGACCACCACCAUUCAAGCCACCCAAGCAUUGCAACUUCCUCAUUCAAUACUAGAGCAAAAGAAUACACUCCAAACACACAAUCAAAGCAUCAACCCCUCUCCAAGCUUCAAAAUCAAGUCAAGUGAUCAAAAGUGCUUAGUGACUUGAGAGAGGGUGAUUUGUGUUUGUUUUGUUGCUCUUGUUGCUUGGUUGCAUUCUUCUUCUCAUUCUAAACUUCUCAAGUGUUUUGUAAAGCAAGCGAGAGACACCUAAUUGUGUGGUGAUCCUUGCGGGGUCUUAGUGACACGUGUGAUUAAGAAGAUGCACUUAACCGGUCUAAGUGACCGAUUGAGAGAGGAAAAGGGUUGGAAUAGACCCAGCCUUUGUGGCCUCCUCAAUGGGGAGUAGGUUUCUUGGAACCGAACCUCGAGAAACAAAUCACCGUGUUCACUUGUGUUGAUCUUUAUCACUCGAUUUGUUUCUUCCCUCUCCUCUCUUCCUAAAAGUUCCCUUGCUCACAUUGAUUUGCGUUUGAUACCAAAGUUAUCCGCAUUGAUUGAGCAACUCAAAGCAAGGAGAACUAUCUCCCGCUCUUCGAAUUUAAUAUUAUUUAUCUCUAACCCUAACCCCGUGUGAAGUGCGUGUUCAAAGUUUAUAAUUUUCAAGUUUCGCCUAUUCACCCUCUCUAGGCGAUUUUCAUGCUUCCUAUGGAAGAAUGUCAUUGUUGCCACAUAUUUUUAAGUCAUUAUAUUGGAGCAAAGUGGCGUAACCAUGUCAACCUCUAUUAUUCGUGGAAACGAUCCUUCAGGGAUUGUCGCAAGUUAAUUGGUAUAUCAAAUGUGCGAAUGUAGGAUUUAAACAUAGCGUAAUCUUCAAGACUCCACAUCUAAAUGAACAACUAGAAAGAUGACUUGUCUAGACAAUUAUAGGGAAUUGAACCAUAAACAUUCGAGGUACUCCAAUUAUACAAAAAAUGUAAUUAUGAGAUUCGUGUUGGACAAACUAGGUCAAAUUUAACCAAAUUUAUAUUCAGUAUUCUUAAUAUUUAUAUCAAAUAUAUUAUACUAGAACUUUUAAUACAUAGUGAAAUGAACUGCGAGCUUUCCAAAGAACCCCAACAUUCUUCUUUGCUAAAAAGACUAUUUUGUAUGCGCAUGCAUAGGCAACUAAUUCUUCUAACUAGUUGUUAUAACAUUUUCUUUUAUAUAUACUAGUCAGUUGUCAGUAUGUUACUAUGUGUCGGCGUUUUGAGACCGGGGGGUCCCUAAGCCGACGAGUGAAUGUCGCUGCGUGCCCCAGCCCAGAUGGGUCGAGCGCGUGGGCGAGCGCGAUGGGGGGAAGCGAGGUGGCCGGAGAUGGGCGUGAGAGAGGUGGAAAUCCCGCGGCCUUCGUGUUCGUCCCGCGCCCAGGUCGGGUGCGCUUGCAGUAGGGGGUUACAAGCGUCCACGCGGGUGAGGGAAGCGAGCGGCCCCAAGAGAGCGCCUGUCCCGUCCUCGUCCCCGCGCGGCCAACCCUCUCUAAGAGGGCCCUGGUCCUUCCUUUUAUAGGCGUAAGGAGAGGAGCCAGGUGUACAAUGGGGGUGUAGCAGAGUGCUACGUGUCUAGCGGGGGAGAGCUAGCGCCCUAAGUACAUGCCGAUGUGGCAGCCGGAGAGAUCUUGGCACCCAGCUGGUGUGAUGUCGUGGCCGUCGGAGGAGCGACGGAGCCUGGCGGAGGGACAACUGUCGGAGCGGUUGAGUCCUUGCUGACGUCCUCCUGCUUCCGUAAGAGAGCUGAGAGCCGCCGUCGUCAUAGAGCAUGCGGGGCGCCAUCAUUGCCUAUCUGGCGGAGCUAGCCAGAUGGGACGCCGGUCUUGUUCUCUGCGGCCCGAGUCAGCUCGGGGUAGGGUGAUGAUGGCGCUUCCUGUUGACGUGGCUGGCCUGCGCCCUAGGUUGGGCGACGUGGAGGCUCCUCCGAAGCCGAGGUCGAGUCUGUCUUCUGUGGCCGAGGCCGAGUCCGAGCCCCUGGGUCGGGCGAGGCGGAGGUUGUUCGGCAGAGGCCAGGGCGGAGUCCGAGCCCUGGGGUCGGGCGGAGCGGAGUUCGUCGUCUUCUGGGGCUGAGCCCGAGUCCGAGCCCUGGGGUCGGGCGGAGCGGAGUUCGUCGUCUUCUGGGGCUGAGCCCGAGUCCGAGCCCUGGGGUCGGGCGGAGCGGAGUUCGCUGUCUUCCGGGACUUAGCCCGAGUCUGAGCCCUGGGGUCGGGCGGAGCGGAGUUCGCCGUCUUCCGGGACUUAGCCCGAGUCCGAGCCCUGGGUCGGGCGGAGCGGAGUUCGCCGUCUUCCGGGACUUAGCCCGAGUCCGAGCCCUGGGUCGGGCGGAGCGGAGUUCACCGUCUUCCGGGACUUAGCCCGAGUCCGAGCCCUGGGGUCGGGCGGAGCUUCCUAUGGUGCCUUUGGCAGGGCCUGACUGCCCGUCAGUCUCACUCUGUCGAGUGGCACUGCAGUUGGAGUGGCGCAGGCGGCGCUGUCCUUCUGCCAGGCCGGUCAGUGGAGCGGCGAAGUGACGGCGGUCACUUCGGCUCUGCCGGGGGGCGUGUGUCAGGAUAAAGGUGUCAGGCCACCUUUGCGUUAAAUGCUCCUGCGAUUCGGUCGGUCGAUGCGGCGAUUUAGUCAGGGUUGCUUCUUAGCGAAGGAAGGGCCUCGGGCGAGCCGGAGAUGUGUCCGCCGUUGGAGGGGGGCCUCGGGCGAGACGGAAAUCCUCUGGGGUCGGCUGCCCUUGUCCGAGGCUAGGCUCGGGCGAGGCAUGAUCGAGUCGCUCGAAUGGACUGAUCCCUGACUUAAUCGCACCCAUCAGGCCUUUGCAGCUUUAUGCUGAUGGGGGUUACCAGCUGAGAAUUAGGCGUCUUGAGGGUACCCCUAAUUAUGGUCCCCGACAGUAGCCCCCGAGCCUCGAAGGGAGUGUUAGCACUCGCUUGGAGGCUUUCGUCGCACUUUUUUGCAAGGGGACCAGCCUUUCUCGGUUGCAUUUUGUUCCGGUGGGUGCGCGCGAGCGCACCCGCCGGGUGUAGCCCCCGAGGCCUCGGAGGAGUGGUUUCACUCCUCCGAGGUCUUAAUGCCUUGCGUAAUGCUUCGGCUGGUCUGGUUGUUCCCUCAUGCGAACUGGCCGUAGCCCGGGUGCACGGUCGGGACCCAAGUUCUCGGGCUGGUAUGUUGACGCUGUCAACGGUUCGGCCGGAGCCGGGUUUGCGAGAGCAGCCCCCGAGCCUCCGCACAGGGCGAGAGGACGAUCAGGGACAGACUCGGCUUUUUUACAUACGCCCCUGCAUCGCCUUUCCGCAAGGAGGAGGGGGGAAAGCGCCAUGUUACCCUCGAUGGGCGCCGAACAUGGUGUCUCCGGUGAGCUGCAAGCGGGUAAUCCGAGUGGACGUCCGUGCCCCGUUCGUUAGGGGUCGGCUAGGGGCCCAGAGGCACGCCCAAAAGUACCUACGGGUGAUCUGCCGGACCCGGUCCCCUGGCGACGGGGUCCGAUGGCUCGAUGCCUCCCUCUGAUGGGAUUCCGUUACAAGAUCGCUCCCGCUGGUCUCGGAAAUGUCCUAGGGUACCUUGGGAGCGCAGCCCGAGCCUUGAUUAUGUAUCGAACGUACCCCUGGUCAUCCCUCGCUCGGCGUCUGAGGCGACUAUGAACCCUUCGGGGGCCAGCCUUCGAACCCCUGAUCAGUAAUGGGUGCGGAGCCCGAGUAGCCUGAGGCGGCCGUGGAACUAACCCUUCGGGGGGCUGGCCUUCGAACCUCUGACCAGUAGUGGGUGUAGGGCCCACGCGAUCUGAGGCGGCUGUUGAACCCCUCGGGGGGCCAGCCUUCGAACCUCUGAUCAGUAGGGGGGCUCGGAGCCCGGUUCCUUCACGGGGAAGGAUCCUUUUCGGGGUAUCCCCCUUUCCCGGUCCCUGUUGCAAGAGAUAGAGAAAGAGGAAAAAAGGAAAAGGAUACGAAAUCGAACGAUGUGGCGUACCUUUUUUGGCGCGGUUAUUACGGCGAAGGCGAAGCGUUGCCCGCUUCUCCUGCCAGAAGCGCCGCCUGUCCCGCCGCGGAGUUAAUGCGACAGGGCGAGUGGUUGGCGGGGCGGUCGUCGCGCGUGCGCGAGCCGUUCGAGGAACGGAUCACGGGCGCGUUGUCUUCACGUCGUGAGAGGGGGUUCUCUUGCUGCCCCUGGAUGGGACGUGAGCUUGGCUGACGACGUGACCGCUGCUCCCGCCCGCCUGCCACCGUCAUUACUGCCGGCCCACUUUCGGCCACAUUGACCGUCGCGCCAGGCUGGCGCUGCUGGGUCGUGCGCUGGGUCGCCUCGAGUCGCGGUAUUGGUUCCGCAACCGAAGAGGCGCGGUGGUGGCGCAAGUGGCGGUGCAGUUGCUUGCAUGCAGCAUCCGGCGCGCCGGUUGCGUGACGCGUGGGCCUGGGCCUCCAGGCUGGGCGCGUUGGGAGUCGCAGAAGCGCGCCCACUUGGCGCGGUUGCAUGCCGCCUGCAUGGCUGCCCGCCUCUCUCGCCCGUUGGUCUGGGCAAAAGUGGAGGGUCACUUGUAACCGCUGGGCGGUUGAGUGCACCGCGCGCGGCGGUUUGGCUUCUUCUGCUCCGAGCCGGUUUGCAUGACAUGCGGGACCCAGCCCCCGCGCCGCAGGGGAGGGCCUUGGAGCGUGUUGGAGAAGACUCAGUCCGUGACGAUUGGGGGCGCAAGUAGGGAGAGUUGCCUUUAAAAGGAGGGCGACCCCUUUCGGAAGGCGAGCAUGUCUUCUCGCUUCCUUAUGCAUCGCGUCUCUCCACCUUCCAAGCCCCCGGAUGGGGGAUAACCGCCGUCUUUUCGCCUCAUCGUUGGAGGAACACAACUCCGUGGGAGUUGGUACCUUUCAGCCAUCGUUCGGCUUCAAGGAUUUUCAUCGGCCAGCCCGGCUAUACCCCCCCGCCGGCGGUCACCCAAGACGGUGACCACCAGUUCCUGGGUGGGGAGAAGCAAGCCGGGCUGCGAUCUUGGUCCCACCCUCAGCUUCAAGGAUGUUCAUCAUCCUCGCUGGGGUGGGGGCCGGGCUGAGCCGGCGCUCUACCUCCCGCGCGGGUUCGUGGGUCACCCUCUCCCGCGGCGUUCGAGGGAGAGGGCGCUCACUGGCCCUGCGGGUGGCCCGGACUUCGACAACGCGGGGCUGGUCGACGGCGGGCGUCGUCACCUCCAGCGUGUCGGGCUCGUCGGCUUGGCUCCCGGCGGCCCCUCCUGCCGGAGGGCGGCUCCCGCGCCGUGUGCACGGGAGGACCACCCAAGAUGCCGCGCGCUGCUAGGGCGGCGUUCGUGUUCUGGGGUGGCCCUGCCUUUGCACCGGGAUGGCACCUUCACGCAGAGGCCGAUGCCCCACUCGUCCGGGAGGAUUUGAGUGGGGAUCUGCCGGAGGGCUGAUGGCCCCUGCCAUCGGUGCCGAGGUGACGGCGGUUCGAGAAGUCCCCGUCGCCGACGGGAUCACCGCCACCAUCCGCGCUUCGGGCCUCCAGCUCUUUGUACUUGUCCUCGCCCCUCGAGCGUCGGCGUGGGCGAGGGCAAGAUUGCAGCAGCGCCCACCCUGAGGCCUGCGCUGCUGCAGUUCGACCACCCGGAGCGGGGGUCGUUGUCGUCGUAGUCAGAGCGGGCGGCAGCGAGCCGCUCGUCAGUCUUCUGUUGCUCCGCAGGCCCUCUCCCAUGGAGUGGGGUUGUUCGUACCUGCGGAGGGGGAACCGGAGUUCCGUUUGUAAUGGCACUUCGAAUGCCAGUGUUUUUGUUCAUUAUGGCUGUCGAGGCCUGAACAUGUAUGUAAUUUUGGCACGGAGCCGUGUUUUUUCCUCAUUCUCGAGCACUAAGACUCGCCUGUUGAUUAUCUGAACCGCUUCACCAAGCAUGAGUCGCCCCGUGUCAAGGUGACGAGUGAGGUAUCCGUAUCCCGGAGGCGUAGGAGUCCCUCGGCUCGGUCGGCCUUGCUGUCUGAGGCUCCUCUAGCUUAGUUAAAGGGACCCCUUGGCCGCUCUUCGACGAGCCGAGGCCAGGGGUAGCGAUAUCAGCGUGAACAGAGGCGGAGUUGGCUCGAAAAUGAAACCUGGUCGGCCGGAGCCUAGCCGGGUUGUCCGUUAGUGGGGCCGACGUCGGAGUUGAUCAGCCGAGGCCUCGGGUCGGGCUGGCGCCCUUGGAAGAUGGUCGGCCGAGGCCUCAGAGGUGACCGGCCGAGCCACCUGCUCGGGCCGGAUUCCCGGAGAAGACCCUGGCGGCGAUGGCCCGGGCGUGGUGAUGACGUCGUCCUUCGGAGUGGAGGUCUUCGGACCGCGUCGCCGUCCGAGGCUAGGUCGAACCUCGCCGAAGUUGUCGUCGAUGCCGAGGGUGCUGCUGCCCCCUUCCAGCGUCAAGACCCGAGCCUGCAGGAUCAGAUAGUCUUGUAGCGUGUGCCUUCUGCGGCCGCCGAGGCCAGAACACACACCCUUGCUGCGUUGUAAAGUUGCGUCUCUUUUCCUCUUGUUUCGAGUAUCUGGACUUUUUUGUCGGUAACAGGGAUGUUUGUGCGAGCGAGAGUUGCUUCUCGCGGAAGGUGAUGAGUGAGGUAUCCGUAUCCCGGAGGCGUGGGAGUCCCUCGGCUCGGUCGACCUUGCCGCUUACGCGUACUUUCACCCGUCCAUGAGGCCCUGUCACCGACUCAGUCGAGAAGGCUCGAAGGAUCGCUUCGGCAGAAGAGCUUCCGAAUGUGAAGACUUGUUCGGUCCGCGGAAUCACUUUAUCCGAAUGCGAGUUACUUAUCGCAGAAGGUGAUGAGUGAGGUAUCCGUAUCCCGGAGGCGUAGGAGUCCCUCGGCUCGGUCAGCCUUGGCUGCUUACGUGUACUCCGUCGUUUUCAGGAUCCACUUUUCGAAGUAGUCAGAAAGCAUGAAAGACAUUCUGGCGGAAGAGAUCUUUUUUCGAGGAAAAUUUCAACGCAGAGGGGGUUCCCCCCCUUUUAGCCCCCGAGGGAGGGUCGGGCUUUGCCGAGGCGAGGCCGACCCUUCCUGGAUGACUAAACUUUGCGUGGGUGCGAGGUAUAUGAACAAUUUGAAAAUAUCUUAAGGGUAGAAGCGACGUAGCUGUUGGAUGUUCCAAGCGUUGCUGUAGACCUCGCCUUGACUGUUGGCCAGCUUGUACGUUCCGGGCUUCAGAACUUUGGCGAUGACGAAUGGCCCCUCCCAGGGGGGCGUGAGCUUGUGCCUCCCUCGGUCGUCUUGCCGCAGCCGAAGCACCAGGUCGCCCACCUGGAGGUCUCGGGGCCGGACCCCUCGGGCGUGGUAGCGUCGCAGGGACUGCUGGUACCGCGCCGAGUGUAGUAAGGCCUUGUCCUGAGCCUCUUCCAGCUGGUCCAGCGAGUCUUCUCGACUAACUUGGUUGCUUUGAUCGCUGUAGGCCCUCGUCCUCGGGGAGCCGUAUUCCAGGUCAGUGGGCAAGACGGCCUCGGCCCCAUAGACCAGGAAGAACGGCGUGAAACCCGUGGCUCGGCUCGGCGUUGUCCUCAGGCUCCAGACCACCGAGGGGAGUUCCUUCAUCCAUCGCUUGCCGAACUUGUCGAGGUCGUUGUAAAUCCGAGGCUUGAGCCCUUGUAGAAUCAUGCCGUUGGCACGCUCUACUUGCCCGUUCAUCAUGGGAUGAGCCACGGCGGCCCAGUCCACCCGGAUGUGGUGAUCUUUGCAGAAGUCCAAGAACUUUCUGCCGGUGAACUGGGUACCGUUGUCGGUGAUGAUGGAGUUCGGGACCCCGAAGCGAUGGAUGAUGUUGGUGAAGAACGUCACCGCCUGCUCGGACCUGAUGCUGUUCAGAGGUCGGACCUCGACCCACUUGGAGAAUUUGUCGAUGGCGACCAGCAGGUGCGUGUAGCCCCGGGCGCCUUCUGCAAGGGGCCGACGAGGUCCAGACCCCACACAGCAAAGAGCCAGGUGAUGGGUAUCGUCUGUAGAGCCUGAGCGGGCAGAUGGGUCUGCUUCGUAUAGAAUUGACACCCUUCGCAGGUGCGGACAAUUCUAGUGGCGUCAGCCACCGCCGUUGGCCAGUAGAAGCCUUGCCGGAAAGCAUUCCCGACAAGGGCUCGAGGCGCUGCGUGAUGGCCGCAAGCCCCCGAGUGUAUCUCUUGCAGGAGUUCCUGACCUUCGGCGAUGGAGAUGCAUCGCUGGAGGAUGCCCGAGGGGCUGCGGUGGUAGAGCUCCUUCUCAUCGCCCAGCAAGACGAACGACUUGGCGCGUCGCGCUACUCGCCGAGCCUCGGCUCGGUCGAGGGGUAGCUCUCCUUGGCGGAGAUAUUGCAGGUACGGGGUCUGCCAAUUCCGAUCAGGCGUGGCCCCGCUCCGCUCCUCCUCGACGUGCAGUGCCUCGCCCUUGGAGGCCGAGGGUACCUCGGGCUGAACCGAGGGUGCCUCGGGCCGUGCCGAGGGUACCUCGGGCUGGACCGAGGGCGCCUCAGGCUCGGGCGAGUCGUCGAUCUUGACGGAGGGUUGAUGCAGAUCCCGGGAGAAGACGUCCGGGGGAACCGUCGUUCGCCCCGAGGCUAUUUUUGCCAGCUCGUCCGCCGUCUCGUUGUAACGCCGAGCGAUGUGGUUAAGCUCGAGCCCGUAGAACUUAUCUUCCAGGCGCCGAACCUCAUCGCAGUAGGCCUCCAUCUUCGGGUCGCGGCAGUGGGAGUUCUUCAUGACUUGGUCGAUGACAAGCCGCGAGUCGCCGCGGGUGUCGAGGCGCCUGACCCCUAGCUCGAUGGCGAUCCGCAACCCGUUGACCAGAGCCUCGUACUCAGCCACAUUGUUGGACGCCGGGAAAUGGAGGCGUAGCACAUAGCGUAGGUGUUUCCCGAGGGGCGAGAUGAAGAGUAGGCCCGCGCCGGCUCCCGUCUUCAUCAGCGAUCCGUUGAAAAACAUGGUCCAGAGCUCCGGUUGGAUCGGAGCCGUCGGUAGCUGGGUGUCGACCCAUUCGGCUACGAAGUCCGCCAAUACCUGGGACUUGAUGGCCUUCCGAGGGGCGAACGAGAUUGUCUCGCCCAUGAUUUCCACCGCCCACUUUGCAAUCCUGCCCGAGGCCUCUCGGCACUGGAUGAUCUCCCCCAGGGGGAAGGAUGACACCACAGUUACCGGAUGAGACUCGAAGUAGUGUCGCAACUUCCGCCUCGUCAGGAUCACUGCAUACAACAGCUUCUGGACUUGUGGGUAGCGGAUCUUGGUCUCGGACAGCACCUCGCUGACGAAGUAAACUGGCCUCUGAACGGGCAAUGCAUGCCCCUCUUCUUGCCUCUCGACCACAAUCACGGCGCUAACCACCUGAGUGGUCGCGGCGACGUAGACCAAGAGGGCUUCUCCGUCAGUUGGAGGCACCAAGAUAGGCGCCUUUGUGAGGAGCGCCUUCAGGUUCCCGAGAGCUUCCUCGGCCUCAGGGGUCCAAGCGAAGCACUCGCCUUCCUUAAGAGGCGGUACAGAGGCAGGCCUCUUUCGCCGAGGCGUGAGAUGAAGCGGCUCAGGGCCGCGAGACAUCCCAUGACCCUCUGUACGCCUUUUAAGUCCUUGAUGGGCCCCAUGCUGGUGAUGGCUGCGAUCUUCUCCGGGUUGGCUUCGAUGCCCCGCUCGGAGACGAUGAACCCCAAGAGCAUGCCCUGGGGCACCCCGAAGACACACUUCUCGGGAUUGAGCUUGACGCCUUUCGCUUUGAGACAUCGGAAUGUCACUUCAAGGUCGGAGAGGAGGUCGGAAGCCUUCCUCGUCUUGACUACGAUGUCAUCGACGUAGGCCUCGACCGUGCGACCGAUGUGUUCGCCGAACACAUGGUUCAUGCACCGCUGAUACGUCGCGCCCGCAUUCCUCAAACCGAACGGCAUGGUGACGUAGCAGUACAUGCCGAAGGGCGUGAUGAAAGAAGUCGCGAGCUGGUCGGACUCUUUCAUCCUGAUUUGGUGAUACCCUGAGUAGGCGUCGAGGAAAGACAGGGUUUCGCACCCAGCAGUGGAAUCCAUGAUUUGAUCGAUGCGAGGCAGAGGGUAGGGAACCUUCGGACAUGCUUUGUUGAGACCAGUGUAGUCUACACACAUCCGCCAUUUCCCCCCUUUCUUUCUCACAAGCACAGGGUUGGCAAGCCAUUCGGGAUGGAAUACCUCUUUGAUGAACCCUGUUUCCAUCAGCUUGUGGAUCUCCUCGCCUAUCACUCUGCGCUUCUCCUCGUCGAAUCGGCGCAGAGGCUGCUUGACGGGUCGGGCUCCGGCCCGAAUAUCCAGCGAGUGCUCGGCGACAUCCCUCGGUAUGCCGGGCAUGUCUGAGGGACUCCGUGCAAAGACGUCGGCGUUUGCGCGGAGAAAGUCGACGAGCACUGCUUCCUAUUUGGGGUCGAGCCCGGAACCGAUCCGGAUCUGCUUGGAGGUGUCGCCACUGGGGUCGAGAGGGACGGCCUUGACCGUCUCCACUGGCUCGAAGUUGCCAGCAUGGCGCUUCACGUCGGGUACCUCUUUUGAGAGGCUUUCCAGGUCGGCGAUGAGGGCCUCGGACUCGGCGAGGGCCUCGGCGUACUCCACGCACUCCACGUCGCAUUCGAACGCAUGUUUGUACGUGGGGCCGACGGUGAUGACCCCGUAGGGGCCCGGCAUCUUGAGCUUCAGGUAGGUGUAGUUGGGGACGGCCAUGAACUUCGCGUAGCUUGGCCUCCCCAGUACCGCGUGGUAGGUUCCUCGGAACCCGACCACCUCGAACGUCAGAGUCUCCCUUCGGAAGUUGGAGGGCGUUCCGAAGCAGACGGGGAGGUCGAGUCGUCCGAGGGGCUGGACGCGCUUCCCGGGAAUGAUCCCGUGGAAGGGCGCAGCGCCUGCUCGGAUGGAGGAUAGAUCGACGCGCAGGAGCCCGAGGGUCUCGGCGUAGAUGAUGUUGAGGCAGCUGCCCCCGUCCACAAGGACCUUGGUGAGCCUGACGUCGCCGACAAUGGGGUCGACGACGAGCGGGUAUUUCCCCGGGCUCGGCACGUGGUCGAGGUGGUCAGCUUGGUCGAAGGUGAUGGGCUUGUCGGACCAGUCUAGGUAGACUGGCGCCGCCACCUUCACCGAGUAGACCUCCCGGCGCUCUUGCUUGCGAUGCCGAGCCGAGGCAUUCGCCGCAUGCCCACCGUAGAUCAUGAAGCAGUCGCGGACCUCAGGGAAUUCUCCUGCUUGGUGAUCUUCCUUCUUGUCGUCGUCGCGGGCCCUGCCACCCUCCGCGGGUGGCCCGGCCCUGUGGAAGUGGCGCCGAAGCAUGACGCACUCCUCAAGGGUGUGCUUGACGGGCCCCUGAUGAUAGGGGCACGGCUCCUUGAGCAUCUUGUCGAAGAGGUUGGCACCUCCGGGGGGCUUCCGAGGGUUCUUGUACUCGGCGGCGGCGACAAGGUCCGCGUCGGCGGCGUCGCGUUUCGCUUGCGACUUCUUCUUGCCUUUCUUCUUGGCGCCGCGCGGAGUAGACGCCUCGGGAGCAUCUUCCGAUGGGUGGCCCUGGGGCUGCUUGUCCUUUCGGAAGAUAGCCUCGACCGCCUCGUGGCCAGAGGCGAACUUGGUGGCGAUGUCCAUCAGCUCGCUCGCCCUGGUGGGGGUCUUACGACCCAACUUACUCACCAGGUCGCGGCAGGUGGUGCCGGCAAGGAACGCGCCGAUGACAUCCGAGUCGGUGAUGUUGGGCAGCUCGGUGCGCUGCUUCGAGAAUCGCCGGAUGUAGUCCCGGAGAGACUCUCCCGGCUGAUGCCGGCAGCUUCGGAGGUCCCAGGAAUUCCCGGGGCGCACGUACGUGCCCUGGAAAAUGCCGGCGAAGGCUUGGACCAGGUCAUCCCAGUUGGAGAUCUGCCCCGGAGGCAGGUGCUCCAACCAGGCGCGAGCGGUGUCGGAGAGGAACAGGGGGAGGUUGCGGAUGAUGAGGUUGUCGUCGUCCGUUCCACCCAGUUGGCAGGCCAGGCGGUAGUCCGCGAGCCACAGUUCCGGUCUCGUUUCCCCCCGAGUACUUUGUGAUAGUAGUCGGGGGUCGGAACCGGGUCGGGAACGGCGCCCGUCGGAUGGCCCGGCUGAAGGCCUGCGGACCGGGUGGUUCGGGCGAGGGACUCCGAUCCUCCCCGCUGUCGUAGCGUCCCCCACGCCUGGGGUGGUAACCUCGGCGCACCCUCUCGUCGAGGUGGGCCCGACGGUCGUGAUGACGGUGCUCGUUGCCGAGGUUACCCGGGGCUGCAGGCGCGGUGUUGCGCGUGCGCCCGGUGUAGACCGAGGCUUCCCGCAUGAAUCGGGAAGUCGCGGCAUGAGGUCCCGAGGGGUAUCCCUGCCUUCGGGAGGCAGAGCUCUCGGCCCGUCGGACCGCAGCACCUUCCAGGAGAUUCUUGAGCUCUCCCUGGAUUCGCCGACCCUCGGUGGUUGAUGGCUCCGGCAUCGCGCGGAGAAGCAUCGCUGCUGCAGCCAGGUUCUGACCGACCCCACUGGAUGCAGGUGGCGGCCUCACCCUGACGUCGUUGGCGACGCGGUGCUGGAGACCCUGGGGCAGGUGACGUAUUUCUCCGGCCGGGGGUUGGCCCGCCCACGCCAGCCCGACGUCCCGGUGGAUCGGCUCAAGCGCUCCUGCUCCCUCGUCGAGCCUGGCCUGCGCCCCGCGGACUUGCUCGAGCUGUGGGUCGUGACCCCCCGCCGGAACGGGGACCACAGCUAGCUCCCGCGGGAUGUCAGCGCGAGGCACCGGCCUAGGGAGAUCACCGUCCUCCGGCAUGCCGAGAUGGUUGCCUUCGGAGGGAUCCCCUAGCUCGACGUGGAAACAUUCGCGGCUUGGGCCGCAGUCCUCGUCGUCGAGGCUGUGGCUACCGUCGGCGUCGGAACAGUCAGAGAGGCAGUAGUCACAUGCGGUCAUGAAGUCCCGCAUGGCACUUGGGUUGCCAAAUCCAGAGAAAUCCCAACAGAUGUUGGGGUCGUCAUCUUCCUCGGACCCAGAGGGCCCAUAGGUCGAGACGUCCGUCAGCCGGUCCCAAGGCGACCGCAUGCGAAACCCCAGAGGGUUUGAUCUCGCCUCUACAAGAGCGCCCGCCAAAGCAAGGUCGCUAGGCGGGUUGAGGCUGAGUCGAAAUGACGUAGGAUGGGAAUCGGUUGGUACCUUUUGGUCGACGAGCGACGACAUAGUCACGUCGGGGACUGAUCGCACCGCCGUCUCAGGUACGAGGGCGACGUCCUGCAAGCUCUCCGCGAGCGCACUGGCGUCGUCCGUUUGCUCGGGAUUGGCGUGUCGCGGGGAGAUGGUGCUCGCCUUCGUCUCAAACGCGAGGUCGACGCCCGGCGCGCCCCCCGUUGGAGCGCUGGGGACGUCGACUCGCUCGACAGCCAACGAGGCGCAGCCUCCCGCUUGGCCUUGGUUGCCCCGCCUCCUCCUCCGUCGGCGGGGGAGAGGACGGUGCGAGCUCGAAUGUUGUUCUUCCACUACGUGGGGAAGACGUCGUCGAUCCCGCCGCCGGCGGGCGGGCUGUCGGCCGCCAUUGUCGUUGUCGCGCGGCAGUGGAAGGAGUAUCAUGUCGUAGCUGCCGUCGAAGGACAUGAACUCAAGACUCCCAAAACGGAGCACCGUUCCGGGUUGGAGAGGUUGCUGGAGCCUGCCCAUCUGGAGCUUGACGAGAAGUUGUUCGUCAACACGCAGCAGGCCCCUACCUGGCACGCCAACUGUCGGCGUUUCGAGACCGAGGGGUCCCUAAGCCGACGAGUGAAUGUCACUGCGUGCCCCAGCCCAGAUGGGUUGAGCGCGUGGGCGAGCGCGAAGGGGGGAAGCGAGGUGGCCGGAGAUGGGCAUGAGAGAGGUGGAAAUCCCGCGGCCUUCGUGUUCGUCCCGCGCCCAGGUCGGGUGCGCUUGCAGUAGGGGGUUACAAGCGUCCACGCGGGUGAGGGAAGCGAGCGACCCCAAGAGAGCGCCUGUCCCGUCCUCGUCCCUGCGCGGCCAACCCUCUCUAAGAGGGCCCUGGUCCUUCCUUUUAUAGGCGUAAGGAGAGGAGCCAGGUGUACAAUGGGGGUGUAGCAGAGUGCUACGUGUCUAGCGGGGGAGAGCUAGCGCCCUAAGUACAUGCCGAUGUGGCAGCCAGAGAGAUCUUGGCACCCAGCUGGUGUGAUGUCAUGGCCGUCGGAGGAGCGACGGAGCCUGGCGGAGGGACAGCUGUCGAAGCGGUUGAGUCCUUGCUGACGUCCUCCUUCUUCCGUAAGAGAGCUGAGAGCCGCCGUCGUCACAGAGCAUGCGGGGCACCAUCAUUGCCUAUCUGGCGGAGCUAGCCAGAUGGGACGCCGGUCUUGUUCUCUGCGGCCCGAGUCAGCUCGGGGUAGGGUGAUGAUGGCGCUUCCUGUUGACGUGGCUGGCCUGCGCCCUAGGUUGGGCGACGUGGAGGCUCCUCCGAAGCCGAGGUCGAGUCUGUCUUCCGUGGCCGAGGCCGAGUCCGAGCCCCUGGGUCGGGCGAGGCGGAGGUCGUUCGACAGAGGCCAGGGCAGAGUCCGAGCCCUGGGGUCGGGCGAAGCGGAGUUCGUCGUCUUCUGGGGCUGAGCCCGAGUCCGAGCCCUGGGGUCGGGCGAAGCGGAGUUCGUCGUCUUCUGGGGCUGAGCCCGAGUCCGAGCCCUGGGGUCGGGCGGAGCGGAGUUCGCCGUCUUCCGGGACUUAGCCCGAGUCCGAGCCCUGGGGUCGGGCGGAGCGGAGUUCGCCGUCUUCCGGGACUUAGCCCGAGUCCGAGCCCUGGGGUCGGGCGGAGCGGAGUUCGCCGUCUUCCGGGACUUAGCCCGAGUCCGAGCCCUGGGUCGGGCGGAGCGGAGUUCGCCGUCUUCCGGGACUUAGCCCGAGUCCGAGCCCUGGGUCGGGCGGAGCGGAGUUCGCCGUCUUCCGGGACUUAGCCCGAGUCCGAGCCCUGGGGUCGGGCGGAGCUUCCUAUGGUGCCUUUGGCAGGGCCUGACUGCCCGUUAGUCUCACUCUGUCGAGUGGCACUGCAGUCGUAGUGGCGCAGGCGGCGCUGUCCUUCUGCCAGGCCGGUCAGUGGAGCGGCGAAGUGACGGCGGUCACUUCGGCUCUGCCGGGGGGCGUGUGUCAGGAUAAAGGUGUCAGGCCACCUUUGCGUUAAAUGCUCCUGCGAUUCGGUCGGUCGGUGCGGCGAUUUAGUCAGGGUUGCUUCUUAGCGAAGGCAGGGCCUCGGGCGAGCCGGAGAUGUGUCCGCCGUUGGAGGGGGGCCUCGGGCGAGACGGAAAUCCUUCGGGGUCGGCUGCCCUUGUCCGAGGCUAGGCUCGGGCGAGGCAUGAUCGAGUCGCUCGAAUGGACUGAUCCCUGACUUAAUCGCACCCAUCAGGCCUUUGCAGCUUUAUGCUGAUGGGAGUUACCAGCUGAGAAUUAGGCGUCUUGAGGGUACCCCUAAUUAUGGUCCCCGACACUAUGGUUUUCAUAUUCACAAUAUUUAUAAUAUACAUUCUUUCUAGAACAUGAAUAAAUAUGUGUUUCAGUGGUUAGACGCUAAGCAUAGGAGGAAUGGUUCUAACCCUAGGUUCUACAUUUUUUGGAUUUUUUCAUGGGAGAACUUAACGCAUAAAGGGCGACAUCUUAAUUAAUGUUGGAAAUUGUACAAGUAAUGCAUGCAAACGGUGAAGACAGAAGUUUUAUCUCAUGAGUAGAAAGCUCAUGUUAUGUAGCACAAAUGAACACCUUAGCGUCGACCUUCAAAGAACGACCAACACACGUUAAGGAUGGCCCUACAUCUAGAAUCAGCAUGUACUAUCAUAUAUUUCAAUUAGUCAUAAAAAAUAUGUAUUCUAUUAAAAUGUAGCCAUGCAUGAUAAAGUUAGGAUUACGUAGGAGAUACAUGGACAACACAACAUUCAUGGAUCCUUUUAUAAAAAAUGAAGGCCUAUCAAAUAUUUCAUUAGGCACUUAUUAUAUAACUUGUCAAUCCAUUUCUUAACUCUUCUCUUUUAAACAACAGCGAAGUCUCACUCUAGCUAUAUAUGGAGAUGAAGAAGAUGGAGAAGGAGGAUGACACCAUCAUUGUUGGCGCCAGCAUCACUGUCGUAAUAGGGUAGUGGUAGCAAAUAGAUAUCACGGUCCAAUGCAUGCAUGUGUAAUGCAUUGCUUGGGAUCCAACCCAAUCUAGUAUAGCUAGCAUAGGUCGGCUUAAAGUAUUGUCAGCACUAAAGUUAAUUAUUUGGCGGUGUAGGCGGUGUUGGCCUUCCAGUUGGCAGGGAUGACAUCGUCGUAGACGGACUUGGUGCCUCCCUCGGUAGUGAGGCGGACGGUGAGGGGUCCCUUAAGCGGUUUGUCGCUGUCCUUCCUCCAGAUGGCGCCCCAGGAGUGCUUCAGAGGCUCGUACGUGUCGGAGCCCUUCUCCUUGACGUCCACUGCCACAAUGUCACCGUCGCCGUCGACGUACUUGACCAGCAGUGCCAGGUAGUUGGGGCCGCACCCCUUUUCAAGGUGGAAGGUGACCUUGGAGUCGUACUUGCACUUAACCCUUCGGAACUGCAUGUCGAUGAUGCCCGCCUUGCGCAGCUUCUCCUCCUCGCCCUUCUUGGCCAUGGCGCCGAACGCCGUGCCUGCUAAAUCGAAGUGGUACGCCGCGAUAGGCUCAUAGUUCAUGUCCGUGAUGUGCACCACCACGGGCUUGCCGGAGCACUCCACAGGCUUAUCGCACUUGAUCUCGAAGCAGGACCCACAACCCAGACCAUCCUUGAAGAUGGGGAUGUUGCCGCAUGCGCCCAUGCUAUUGAAGGGGGGCUUGUUCACGUCCUUGUACCCGCAGCCACCACCGUUGUCGUCGGGACCGGCACCCGUCGGCUUGCCAUACCAUGUCGCUUUAGCGUCCAGCCAGUCCUUGCCAUAGGUGGCCGUGAUGUUCUUGCCUGGGGGGACUUUGGGAGGACCGCACCAUGCGCCGCUCACCAAGAACACCAACACCACAGCCAUCGCAACCUGUGCCCGCAUCGACGACCACAUGGUUCUCACAUUCACAUCCAUGUUUUGUCUUGGGUUAGUGAAUGGUACUAUGCUACGAUGAAUGAGCGGGUAGGCCUGAAUUUAUGGUUGUGUGUGCCAACGGUUGGACGAUCGAGCUUGCAACCGUGAAGCGCGCGCAUGCAUGCACCAACGAGGAGGUAGAGUUUGCAUGGUCGAGCGAGCUUUUCUCUUGGCCACCAGUUUACUAAUUGGUUCCAUAAGUCGAAGGUGACCAUGCAUGGUAGCUCUGCAUGCAAAGCUGCUCGUAUCGUCGCGAUACUUAUGCCAUGGUGCUACUUUGGCUAAUGGUGAAGCGAGGACUCUCCUUCUUCUCACUUUGAAAGGGAAAUAACCUCAACAUUUCCUAUAAUCGAUUUUGGUGUUUGACGUCUAUCACAAAACCAUAUGGACUAAUUAGUUUGCCUAGUGGACAUUUUUCCCACGUGCAUAAAGUUCACAUAAACAUACAAAGAAAAGGACUUGAGUGAAUUCUAUAAAGUUUGGAGCACACAAGUUCUUGUGUUGCCAGUAGCGCACCGGACACUAUCCGGUACCCUGGCUGAGCACCUCGCGAACUGGUCACUCUCGGGUUUUCUCAGCGUUAGUCCGCUAAAAUUCAUCGGACUGUCCGGUGCACCACCGGACUGUCCGGUGCGACAACAGAGAAACGAUCAACUUCGCGCAACGGUCAACUUCGCUGACUACAGGGCAGUCUGCAGCGCAGAAGUCAGAAGUCAGUCUGCAAAGUCAGAACACACCAGACUGUCCGGUGUGCCAUCGGACUGUCCGGUGCCACAAGAAGACAGAAGACUUCAACGGUCAAUGGCUCCAAACCCCAACGGUCAGCUGAUGUGGCACUCACCAGACAGUGAACAGUGCAGUGUCCGUUGCACCACCGGACUGUCCGGUGUGCCCAUCGACAACAACAGUUGGAAUAGUGGCUGGGGCUAUAAAUACCCCGACCACCACCAUUCAAGCCAUCCAAGCAUUGCAACUUCCUCAUUCAAUACUAGAGCAAAAGAAUGCACUCCAAAGACACAAUCAAAGCAUCAAAUCCUCUUCAAGCUUCAAAAUCAAGUCAAGUGAUCAAAAGUGCUUAGUGACUUGAGAGAGGGUGAUUUGUGUUUGUUUUGUUGCUCUUGUUCCUUGGUUGCAUUCUUCUUCUCAUUCUAAACUUCUCAAGUGUUUUGUAAAGCAAGCAGGAGACACCUAAUUGUGUGGUGAUCCUUGCGGGGUCUUAGUGACCCGCGUGAUAAAGAAGAUGCACAUAACCGGUCUAAGUGAAAGUGCAUUCAUCCCUUUUGUGAGUUUUGGUGAUUUGGAUAACAACACAUUUAAAGGUCUAACGAGUUUGCUAAGUGUUGAACAGGAAAUUCAGUAUGAUGAACAUACUUGAAUAGUGUAUAAUGAUCAGUGAACAAAGGUUCAACACAAGGUUAUAUAACCAAUGAGACAAUGCAAAUGGAUAUAAUAUGAUCUCUAUAUUGGUUUGAAUAUAUGGACAAGACCUGAGAAAUCACUACAUACAUAUGACCAGAAUAGAGGACAAAGUGAUUUAGAGGAUUGGUCAAGCCAAAGAGAAUAAGAUAUGAGGAAUCGUGAAUUGGCUUGACCAUAUUACUGUCAGUCCAUAUAUGCUUCUAUGAGAAUCAAACUAGAGCUUGAUUGAUCUUGACAAUUAUAUCUAGAAGACAUUCAAGCAAGGUUCACAAUAUGGAAGAAAUGAUUCUCUCAAUGGAUGCUCAAUUUGAUGUGACUCAAGAAUGGCUUGAUAGGGUGAAGAUAGCAAGGAAAGGGCUUCGAGGAACUAAGCGAAGGUGAAGGUCAAGCGACGGCUUGUAGACCGAGGUACCAUGGCUAAGGUGAAGAAGAGAGUACUUGCACUAAGUCGAUGAACUAAUCAACUAUGAAGAGUUAUAACAUGUUGAUGCAUCAGUAAGGUGACUUGAAGCCAUGAUUUGAACUCAUAUAAGGUGAUAUGGUACAAGUCACUGGGUUUGAUUUGAGUUUGCUUCAAAAGGUGAGACAAAGAUGUUUGUGAUCCUUAUGAAGCAAUGCCAUGGAGAAAUCACACAUGAGACACCAAUGACUCAAGGAGUUUACUUCAUUAUAUUUUAUUUAACUUGAGUAUAGGAAUCGUCGUACUAUAAAGGGGGAUCCAAAAAGAAGGUUGGUGUUUGCCAAAGCUCAAACCUCUCUAUUCAAAAGCUAUUUUUGAAAAGCAAAAAUCUCUUUAACGUUCUAUGGUUGACCGUGGUUAGGGUUGAGAAACCUAGAGUGUUCUUGCUGAAAAGGAGCUGAACUUCUUCAAAUGCAGCUGAGCUUUCCAGCUGAACUUGACUUCAGCUGAGUUGAGCUUCUUCAGCUGCAGCUGAGCUUUUCAGCUGAGCUGAACUUCAGCUGAGUUGAGCUUUCUCAACUUCAGCUGAACUCAACUUCAGCUGUGAACCUCUUUGACCAUACACCAGCUGAACUUGCCUCCGGGCAGUUGAGCUGGGGUUUUCUCUCCUAAACUCACUGGUCAAGACCAGUUGAACUGGUCUUGAGGGGCAGUUCAGCUGGUCUCUGACCCCUCUGACCUCUGACCAACAGUCUGCAAGUCAGACUGGCAAACAGGUCGCCAGAGGUGUCAGGGGCGGUUCAACCGCCCUGGGGGGCGGUUCAACCGGUCUGGUCAACCCUGACCAGUCUGCAGGUCAGUCUGCGCGUUAGUCUGCCAGUCAGACUGGCAGACAGGCUGCCAGGCCUGCCAGGGGAGGUUCAACCGCCCUAGGGGGAGGUUCAACCGGUCUCAGGCAGAAAAAUCUGCCCAACGGCUAGUUUUGAGCUCCACCUAUAUAUACUACCUCCUACCUCUCUCCCCAAAGCAGUGAGCACGAUUUGAACUCCAUUUCUAACCCAAGAAACACCUCCCUCUCUCUCACACAUCUCUUGCCUCUCCCAUUUCAAAUCUUUGGAGAGAAAUCUUUGAGUGAGCUUGAGAGCUGCGGUUUUGUGCUUCAUCUCUAAAUCUCUCUUGCUCUUCUUCUUCAUUCGAGCUUUGGUACUACAUCGAGUUCUUUGUGGAUUCAUUACUCUUGGAGCUUCUAGCUCCUAGACGACUAGGUGUCUCUUGUGAGUCUCCAAAUCUUGUGGAAGACCACAAGAAAGUUUGUAUUACCCGCUCAUUUGAGCAAAGAUUAUUGUGUGGGCUUGACCUUUGUGGUCGGCAAAGGGAGGAUUAGGGUUGAAAGAGACCCGGCUCUUUGUGGGCGCCUCAACGAGGAAGUAGGGCACCUUUUGUGGUGUGACCGAACCUCGGGAUAAAUCUUGUGUAUCUUGUGUUCUUGCUCAUUGUGUUUGUUCAUGUUCUUCGUUCUCUCACCAUUGCGUGGAAGAUUUGUUUAUAUCUUUUGGGUGUGUGGAUUUUGAGAAGUGCCCUUCUCAGAUCUACUACUUUGAACCCUGUGGAUCAUUUAGAACAUCUCAUUUCCAAAGUUAACUGGGUGAAUUUCGAGAUCAAUUCAGUUUUACCCAGUUUGCUUCUAGUUUUCGUUGAAAAAGUUUUAACUUGCCUAUUCACCCCCCCUCUAGGCAACUUUCAAUUGGUAUCGGAGCAUAAUCCUCGUUCUAACGCUUAACUGCGUGAGGAAAGAUCAUGUCGGGGGGACUAAGAAACGAAAGUGCUUCUAAGCUUGAAAAAGUUGAGGUUGCCUCGACUUCAUCUUUUGGUGCAGAUGUUGAUCCUAGGGCAAUAGACCUUGCCAUGAGAAUCGCCGAAAGGAUGUUCCUCAAAAUGAAGGAAGAUGAGGCGAAGAACAUUAUUGAAGAAGAAGAAAAUGAUCGAUGGAGACCAAACGACGAAUCCACCUCUUCACAAGGUUCGUCUUUCAAAUCCACUUCUCAUAUGUGCUUUAUUGCUAAUGGGAGUGACAGUGAAAGCGAAAGUGAGGAUGAGGAGGAGCAAGAAAGUGAUAGUGAAGAUGAGGAUGAUCUUCAACAAUUCUUCGCUCAGCUAAGCAAGAAACAUCGGAUGAGCUUGCUUAAACUCAUGAAAAGAGCGGAAGAACAAAAAGAAAUGCUUCAUAAGCAAGAAGACUUCCUCAUCAGAAAAAUUGAAGACUUAGAGAAGUUGACCAAAGAGCAUGAGAAGCUAAAGUGCUCUCAUGAUGAUUUGGUCCAAAGGUAUGAAGACAUUUCAAUUGAGCAAAUUAAAGUUGUUAAUCAUUCAUCAUAUAUUGCUCAAUUAGAAAGUAAAAAUGCUAUGCUCAAGAACACAAUAGAAAAGCUAAAUAUUGAAAAUCUAGCUUUGCAAGAAAAACAUGAUAUGCUUGUGUGCUCUCAUAAUAAAUUGAUGGAUUCACAUAUCAUGUUAGAAAUGGCUCAUGAGGUUGUGUUAACUAAUUUGAAAUCAUACCAACCUCACACAUGCACAUGUACUCAAGUAGAAACUAUAUUAUCAUGUGCUAACAAAUGUUGCUCUCAAGAAAGCCAAUCUUCCAUUGAGCUAGAAAUUUCAAGAAUUAGUGAUAUUUCUAUCACACAAGAAAAUAAAGAGCUCAAGGAAGAAAAUGAGAGGCUAAAAAGGAGCUUGACUCAAUUGAAGGGAAAAUGUCAUGCUCAACCUUCUCAAGAUAACUGUGAUAAUAUGGUGAAAAAGCAUGAGAAGGGGACAACUGUGGCAUGCACAAAACCCCUUCAAAAGAAUACCAAGCUUUCCAAGAAGGGCAUGAGCAAAAUCCAUGGUGAGAAAAUUAAUGCUCAUAUGAUUUGCUCUAACAAUGUACCUAUGUGCUUCAACAAAGAAAGAUCAAAGAGAAGCGAUAGGAGGUGCUAUGGAUGCAAGGAGAAGGGCCAUGAAAUUGAUUCAUGCCCCCACAUGAAGAAUCAAGACCUUGCACGAUCAAGAAAGAUGACCAUCAAAAAGGAUGAAAGCAAAAGGCAAAUGCAUUGCAAGGACAAGCAUCGCAUUUGCUACAAUUGCCGUGAAAAAGGUCAUCUAUUCAAGGUUUGUCCAAAGGGUAAAACUCCUAAGCCUAACUUGUCAAUACAUUCAAAUAUGCUUAGGAGACCCAAAUUUGACUCUUGUGCUAGAAAGGUGAUGAGUUCACCACAUUCUAGGACCAAGGCUAUUUGGGUGCCUAAGUCCUUAUUGGCUAACCUUGAUGGACCUAUCAUGAGAUGGGUACCAAAAUGUACUUAAUAAGUUUUGCAGGUACCCAGAGAUGAUAUGAAGCUUUGGGGUGCUUGAGCGGUUCAACUCAAUUCUUAUCUCAAGCUAUCAAUCUUACAUUGUCUAUCCUUUAAGAUUGACCCAAAGAUGAAUUGAGUUGUUAUAUCACUAACUUCAUAUUCAUCUCUAGCAAGAACUUGUGUUGUAGGGAAUAAGGAUUAACCUUUGUGGGAAUCAAGCAAAAGGCCUACAACCAAGUGAUAUCCAAAGGAUGGUAACAAUUAAUUCUUAAGUGCACAUUGCUUUUAAUUGGUAUAUUCCUUUGUGUCUUUUGUAGCCACAUAGGAAAAAUGAAGCACUUGAGAAUGAACUUAAAAGAUUUUACCUUGCUUUGGAAAGGAUCUAAUUAUAUGGUAGAUUGCAAGUUCAUAUUUUUAUAUUGUGACAAUCUACAUGCUUUAAAUUGAUUGUAUGUAUCUUGUGGCAUAUUUCAAGUUAAUCAUCAUAUUAUUGCCAUGACCUAGACAUAAAGAAUAUUAUCCCAUGUUCUUAAAUGAAUAGAGUGCUAAGUAAGAAAUUCAAAUUCUUAUAGCACUUACCAAAUGGGGAAUUCUCUAUAUGACUAGAGUUGUGAGACUAAUGUUUCUAUCUAAGUGUUUAUGUAGUCUCACAACAUGAGAAUGUGUUUCCCAAAUGGAGUGUGCCAUUCAACAUUCAAAGAAGAUCCAACCAAUACUAUGUGAUGUAUUCAUUCUUGUUUAAAUUGGUUUUGAGUCUUCUCCAUUAAUCACUCACCAUGCUAUGAAUUAAACUUGCCAUGUAAACUUAAUUAAAUAAUCAUGCUACUUUCAUCUUUUUUACAAUUGAUGUUAUGCAUGAUGCUUGUAAGGGUAAUUUAGUUCAUAUCAUGAGGUUUCCUUGUUUUAGUAACCUUCUUGUCAUUCAUAUACUAGAGGUUGCUAAAUAGGAAACUAUUGCUUGUGUUUCAAAUGCAAUCUCUAUUAAUAUAUUUCAUGGAAAUUCAUAAGUAGAGAUUGUGCACUUUCAAUUGGUAAAAAUCACAAGCAUUGAAGGUUAAUCUUCACCUAAAAGAAAGGUUAGGAAUGCUCAAGGCAAAGGUAUUGCUUCAAUUGGUAGUUGAUCAAUUGUAGUUCCUUUCAAGUGGCAUUCUUUCAAUUGGUAAUAAUCUAUUCUAUGGAAAGAAAUGCCAAUAUAAAGGUUAAAUUCCUUUUGGCUUAAAUUUGUAAAUUGGUGCAUAUUGUUAAUUCACUCCUCCAUGUGCAUUAACUUAAAAGGAAUUUAAUUUAUGCCUUUAUGCCUCAUAAAUGAUGAUUUGUUUGCCAUUCAUAUAUAUAUAUAUAUAUCAUUCAUUAAAUACUUCCUUGUACUACUAAUACCUCUUUUCAAAGUGUUUUAUCGACUAGUUUUAAAAGGAAAAGAGAUAACAAAGAAGGAAGUCUCCACAAAUGAUGAAAAGAAGAAUACUAAGGAGACACCACCACAGAUAGUAAGAUCUGUCAAAUUGGUAUAACAAAUGGUACAUUCUAUAUGGUGGUAAGUAUUCUUAGGCAUAAGUUAAUUCAUUGUAAAUUUGUCAUGCCUUGACCAUGAUAUGUAAUAUACUCCUCAUGAGACUCUUAACUGAAUUGAAAGUGCAUGUGGCAAGUCAUUCAAAUACUUGAUGCACAUAUCUAGUGGGAGAACAUUAUAUAUCUUGUGUCAUAGAGAAUAAGUUUCACUUGAGUAAGCUAUACUAAGACAAUCCAAAAUGAUAAAUUUGUAUCUCAUUCAUAUGAAUUGUAAUCUUUGUUUUCUAAAUAGCUACUCUUGAUGCAGUUUAAAAUUCCCUUAUCGUUAAUUCUAAAAGUGCAUAAGAAUCCUUUUUGUUGAUAUUCAUCACAUACAUAUGCACUAACAUGGAUAUAAUUUUUAAACUGUAAAAGGUACAAUUAGUGAUCCAUACUCUCUAAAUUUUGGAAACCCAUAUUUUGAUAUCUUAGAAAUCUACUUCAAUCGAUAUCAUAUGCUUCACAUUGAAUUGGAUCACUAAGUUGUAAAUUCAAUACAUAACUUGUCUUUAUGAUAUGAAUGCUUGUGCAACUAACCUUGAUAAGCUAGGUGCACCCAAAGUCAAGGUAGGUUCAUCAUCAAGAAGGCAACACAAUGAUGUAUUAAUAAAAGGAGAAAAGGCUCCUAUUCUUAACUCUAGUUUUUAUCUAUGUAAUUAAAUAUUGACUUGAAACCAUGUAAGAUGGUUGUCAAGUAUAUGUGGGUGCCUACACAAAGAGAAAGGCCACAAUAAGGAUUGUGUGGGUUCUCAAGGCUCAUCUCAAAGGACCCAAUUCAUAUUGGGUACCAAGAUAUGAAGCUUAAACUUGUUUUGCAGGAUCACUCCUUCAAUGAAUCAAGUUGGGUGCUUGAUAAUAAAUGAAUGAAUCAUAUUUGGAGAUAGUAGCAAGGGUGGUAACAACUGAAUCUCAAGUGCAUAUUAUUUUCAAAUUAUCUUUUUUGUGACUUGUGUAGCCACUAAGAAAAAAGAAGCACUUGAGGAUAUACAUCAGUUGUUGAUUAUGAAAUAAAGGUCUAAUUGGAAGUUGAAUGAAUAUUAUCAUAUGGUGAACAAUCCAAAAAUAUGUGACGUAUUCUCUAUCUAGUUAAUUUGGAUUUGAUUCUUCUUUAUUAGACACUCACCAUAAUAUGGAUUAAGUCAGCCUUUUAGACUUCAUUGAAUAACCAUGCAUAUUAUCCAUGUCAUUCAAAAUAUAUUGUGCAUGUGGUUCAAGGCAAAUUUAGUCCAUAUUAUGAGGUUUCUCUAUUUUAGCAACUCGCUUGCCUUCCUCAUAUAAAGGGUUGCUAAAUAAGAAAUUAGUGCUUGUGCUACUAAUGCCAUCUCUUGUGUUGAGUUUAUCCAUAGAAAAUCUAUGUUAAGACAUGGUGCUUGUUUUAAAUUGGAUAAAUCACAAGCUUAAAGGAUACUAUUCAACUAAUGUAAGAAGAAGUUGAUAAGAGGCCAAGGUAUGAAAACUUCCUCACCUUCAGUUGUUUUAGUAUUCUAUCCUCAGUGGGAUGUACCAUAGUAUAGGUUAAAUUCCUUGCAAUAUAAAAUGUUCAAUAGUGCAUAUAACUUUGACAUCAACUAUAUGUGUGCACUAACUUAAAGGAAUUUAGUCUAUCCUUUUUGGGUUUCAAGAAUGAUGAUUCAUUUUCCAUCCACAUAUAAGGAUUAUCAUUUACCCUCCCUUGUGUUUCUAAUGCUCUCUUUUCUAAGUGUUUCAACAAGGCCUUCCCAAGUUCUUUGAAGAUGAAUUCAAAAUCUACAAAUAUAAGAGUCUUGGUUCUUUCAAUCAUUGAGUUUCAAUAGGUCUCAUAUCAAGUAUGAUCGAAUCAAGAAAAGAUGAAAGAAGUUCAAGAUCACUUGGUUGGAUGAAAUCGUAAAGAGAAAAGAGAUCACAGUGAUUCAAGAAGGGAGUUAUUAUUUUUUUGUUUUUUUGUCAACCAAAUAAUGAAGAUGUAGUGACAUAUUUAUAUGAUAUCCUUCAUUAUGAGGUUUGAGAUUUAUAUCAGCAUGCUUUACCCUUCAGGAUUUCAAUUGAUAUACUUUCAGUUCUUAAACUUUCAAUUGGUUCAUUUUCAUCAUCUAUGAAGGCAUGUUAUGUUCAACCAAGAUAUAGUGCAAACAUCUUCUUCAACCUCGUAUUGUUGAUGUGCAUAAAUAUACUUUGUGUACUCUUGCAAGCACAAAUUGAGGGAGAGUUUAGCCUAUAUCUUGUGAGACUAAUGAUUUCUUUCAAGUUCAUGUUGUGUAGUCUCACACCCUGGAGAACAUCAAACGAGGAUGAAUGGUUCCAUAGAAAUGAAAAUGAGUUUCUCUUGAUCGUUUAAAGAGGAUAAGUUUCUCUUUGAAAUGUCAAGCCUAUCAAAAGCUAAGAUAGAAAUUCAUGAUUAUAAUGAAGACCAUGUGGCGUUGAACAAAGGUGUGUCACUCCAUGAACUAUUGUAUUACAUUUGUGUAUCUAGGCUCUCACAUGCCAGUGUGCAUGUAUAUGUAAUAUCUUAAGUCACACCAUAAGGUUGCACUUGUGGUGACGAUUAAAGAAUCUCUAGAUAUUUGAUUAAUACCUCUUGUGGUGAUAUCAUAAGUUAGUCUUAAGUCGUCUUAGUGAGGUAUGAGUCAAACAUUCUAACUUCUCAAGAAUCUUGGCUUAAAAUAUUGCAUAUCAUGUCUAUUAGUAUACCUUUUGAUUAUGAGUAAUUCCUUCAAUUGGUGCAAUUUCAUAUUUUCAUACUUUAUUUAUACCAAGGUUCAAAUUGUAGAACUUAAUCCCCUGGCCUCAUAAGUCCAAGUGCAUAAGCUAAACAAGUAUUCAUCACUUGUAUGCACACAUUUAGGGGGAGAAUGGUUUAUAAUUUGAAUCUUUGAGACUAACUUCAUUUUCAAGUCUAUUAUGUGUGUAGUCUCAAAUUAGAAAGGAACCUUCGGGCAAAGACAAUCGCUUCCACUGCAAAUUUUUGAUGGGUAUCAAAGAUUCUUUGCUCCAAUAAAUGUAACUUCUAUACAUUUCAUAAGAGAAUGAGUUUCUCUUGUAUAUGCUACUCCAACGUCAUCUAAAAUUGGUAAAUAUGUAUCACAUCUUUUUGGAUUACAAAUAUCUGAAGUAGCAUAGCUUAUAGAUUCUCCUGUCUAGAACUUAAUUGAUUAAAUAGUGCACAUGUUCCUUAUGUUGCAUGAUUAUGUUCAGUUGAUACUCCUUUUAUGCUAAUGGUACUUUAAAUUUCAAAUAAGUACUCUCAACAUAUAUCAAUUGAAUUCAUAUAUAUAUAUAUGUGCACUAAAACUUGAGGAGAACUUAGUGUAAUAUGCUAUUAGUGAUCUAUUUAUCUAUCAAAUUGUAUCAAUUGGUGUUUUUCAAUUGAUAUUUUUCAUACAUGAUCACUAGUUGCAUAAUCCAUACUUGUGCAAUUUUUAUGUUGCCUCUUGUUGUGAUAAGAAAAUGCUAGGUGACAUCUAGACUCCAGGUAUCAAGAUUUAUCUUUCAGUUAGUAUGACAAUCUUCAUUUGAUAUCUUGGACCUAUGCCACAAUUAUGCCAACAAGAGCUUGCAAAUGAAUUCUAAGUCCAACACAAGUUUGGAACACCCCCUUAAAAAGGUAAAACGCAAAGGUACAUCACUUAUGACACUUAUCCAUUACCUUUGUGCCAUAUAAGGACCCCUUUCAUGAUAGUGUGUUCAUAUCUCUCUUAAUCAUAAUUUCUAUCCUUUAUAUUCUUUUUAUCCUUUUUUGGGAUUUAUGACAAAGGGGGAGAAAUUGUGCAUUAAAGCUUACCUUUAGUCUUAUGUAACUAAGUGUUAGAAGACUUUUAAAAAGGGGAGAAAUAAUUAACAAAAAGGGAAGUCAUAAGAAAAACAUAAGAUGAAGAAAGUUGAUAAGUGCAUUCCAUGUCAUGAGCAUCACGUUUAUUUUAUGACACACUGCACCCUAUGAAUAGUAUGAUAUAAGUUGUCUAUACUUUGACCUAAAUAUGUGCUUUUGGCAUUUGAGUACAAAAGUGUUAUUUUUCUGAAAUGCACAUAUUUAGGGGGAGGAAACUAUAUCAUAGGAUUUAAAAUCUUAUUUAUCAAAUCUUAUGUAAGCUUUAAAUGUGUUGUCAUCAAUCACCAAAAAGGGGGAGAUUGAAAGUGCAUUCAUCCCUUUUGUGAGUUUUGGUGAUUUGGAUAACAACACAUUUAAAGGUCUAACGAGUUUGCUAAGUGUUGAACAGGAAAUUCAGUAUGAUGAACAUACUUGAAUAGUGUAUAAUGAUCAGUGAACAAAGGUUCAACGCAAGGUUAUAUAACCAAUGAGACAAUGCAAAUGGAUAUAAUAUGAUCUCUAUAUUGGUUUGAAUAUAUGGACAAGACCUGAGAAAUCACUACAUACAUAUGACCAGAAUAGAGGACAAAGUGAUUUAGAGGAUUGGUCAAGCCAAAGAGAAUAAGAUAUGAGGAAUCGUGAAUUGGCUUGACCAUAUUACUGUCAGUCCAUAUAUGCUUCUAUGAGAAUCAAACUAGAGCUUGAUUGAUCUUGACAAUUAUAUCUAGAAGACAUUCAAGCAAGGUUCACAAUAUGGAAGAAAUGAUUCUCUCAAUGGAUGCUCAAUUUGAUGUGACUCAAGAAUGGCUUGAUAGGGUGAAGAUAGCAAGGAAAUGGCUUCGAGGAACUAAGCGAAGGUGAAGGUCAAGCGACGGCUUGUAGACCGAGGUACCAUGGCUAAGGUGAAGAAGAGAGUACUUGCACUAAGUCGAUGAACUAAUCAACUAUGAAGAGUUAUAACAUGUUGAUGCAUCAGUAAGGUGACUUGAAGCCAUGAUUUGAACUCAUAUAAGGUGAUAUGGUACAAGUCACUGGGUUUGAUUUGAGUUUGCUUCAAAAGGUGAGACAAAGAUGUUUGUGAUCCUUAUGAAACAAUGCCAUGGAGAAAUCACACAUGAGACACCAAUGACUCGAGGAGUUUACUUCAUUAUAUUUUAUUUAACUUGAGUAUAGGAAUCGUCGUACUAUAAAGGGGGAUCCAAAAAGAAGGUUGGUGUUUGCCAAAGCUCAAACCUCUCUAUUCAAAAGCUAUUUUUGAAAAGCAAAAAUCUCUUUAACGUUCUAUGGUUGACCGUGGUUAGGGUUGAGAAACCUAGAGUGUUCUUGCUGAAAAGCAGCUGAACUUCUUCAACUGCAGCUGAGCUUUCCAGCUGAACUUGACUUCAGCUGAGUUGAGCUUCUUCAGCUGCAGCUGAGCUUUUCAGCUGAGCUGAACUUCAGCUGAGUUGAGCUUUCUCAACUUCAGCUGAACUCAACUUCAGCUGUGAACCUCUUUGACCAUACACCAGCUGAACUUGCCUCCGGGCAGUUGAGCUGGGGUUUUCUCUCCUAAACUCACUGGUCAAGACCAGUUGAACUGGUCUUGAGGGGCAGUUCAGCUGGUCUCUAACCCCUCUGACCUCUGACCAAUAGUCUGCAAGUCAGACUGGCAAACAGGUCGCCAGAGGUGUCAGGGGCGGUUCAACCGCCCUGGGGGGCGGUUCAACCGGUCUGGUCAACCCUGACCAGUCUGCAGGUCAGUCUGCGCGUUAGUCUGCCAGUCAGACUGGCAGACAGGCUGCCAGGCCUGCCAGGGGAGGUUCAACCGCCCUAGGGGGAGGUUCAACCGGUCUCAGGCAGAAAAAUCUGCCCAACGGCUAGUUUUGAGCUCCACCUAUAUAUACUACCUCCUACCUCUCUCCCCAAAGCAGUGAGCACGAUUUGAACUCCAUUUCUAACCCAAGAAACACCUCCCUCUCUCUCUCUCACACAUCUCUUGCCUCUCCCAUUUCAAAUCUUUGGAGAGAAAUCUUUGAGUGAGCUUGAGAGCUGCGGUUUUGUGCUUCAUCUCUAAAUCUCUCUUGCUCUUCUUCUUCAUUCGAGCUUUGGUACUACAUCGAGUUCUUUGUGGAUUCAUUACUCUUGGAGCUUCUAGCUCCUAGACGACUAGGUGUCUCUUGUGAGUCUCCAAAUCUUGUGGAAGACCACAAGAAACUUUGUAUUACCCGCUCGUUUGAGCAAAGAUUAUUGUGUGGGCUUGACCUUUAUGGUCGGCAAAGGGAGGAUUAGGGUUGAAAGAGACCCGGCUCUUUGUGGGCGCCUCAACGAGGAAGUAGGGCACCUUUUGUGGUGUGACCGAACCUCGGGAUAAAUCUUGUGUAUCUUGUGUUCUUGCUCAUUGCGUUUGUUCAUGUUCUUCGUUCUCUCACCAUUGCGUGGAAGAUUUGUUUAUAUCUUUUUGGUGUGUGGAUUUUGAGAAGUGCCCUUCUCAGAUCUACUACUUUGAACCCUGUGGAUCAUUUAGAACAUCUCAUUUCCAAAGUUAACUGGGUGAAUUUCGAGAUCAAUUCAGUUUUACCCAGUUUGCUUCUAGUUUUCGUUGAAAAAGUUUUAACUUGCCUAUUCACCCCCCCUCUAGGCAACUUUCAAUUGGUAUCGGAGCAUAAUCCUCGUUCUAACGCUUAACUGCGUGAGGAAAGAUCAUGUCGGGGGGACUAAGAAACGAAAGUGCUUCUAAGCUUGAAAAAGUUGAGGUUGCCUCGACUUCAUCUUUUGGUGCAGAUGUUGAUCCUAGGGCAAUAGACCUUGCCAUGAGAAUCGCCGAAAGGAUGUUCCUCAAAAUGAAGGAAGAUGAGGCGAAGAACAUUAUUGAAGAAGAAGAAAAUGAUCGAUGGAGACCAAACGACGAAUCCACCUCUUCACAAGGUUCGUCUUUCAAAUCCACUUCUCAUAUGUGCUUUAUUGCUAAUGGGAGUGACAGUGAAAGCGAAAGUGAGGAUGAGGAGGAGCAACUUUCACUAAGUGACCGAUUGAGAGAGGGAAAGGGUGGGAAUAGACCCAGCCUUUGUGGCCUCCUCAAUGGGGAGUAGGUUCCUUGGAACCGAACCUCGGGAAACAAAUCACCGUAUUCACUUGUGUUGAUCUUUAUCACUCGAUUUGUUUCUUCCCUCUCCUCUCUCUCUCUAAAAGUUCACUUGCUCACAUUGAUCUGAGUUUAAUUUGCUCCCAAACUUAUCUGUAUUGAUUGAGCAACUCAUAGCAAGGAGAACUAUCUUUCGCUCUCCGAAUUCAAUAUUAUUUAUCUCUAACCCUAACCCUGUGCGAAGUGCGUGUUCAAAGUAUAUAAUUUUCAGGUUUCGCCUAUUCACCCCCUCUAGGCGACUUUCAUGCUUCCUAUGGAAGAAUGUCAUUGUUGCCACAUAUUUUUAAGUCAUUAUAUUGGAGCAAAGUGGCGUAACCAUGUCAACCUCUAUUAUCCGUGGAAACGAUCCUUCAAGGAUUGUCGCAAGUUAAUUGGUAUAUCAAAUGUGCGAAUGUAGGAUUUAAACAUAGUGUAAUCUUCAAGACUCCACAUCUAUAUGAAUAGCUAGAAAGAUGACUUGUCUAGGCAAUUAUAGGGAAUUGAACCAUAAACAUUCGGGGUACUCCAAUUAUACAAAAAAUGUAAUUAUGAGAUUCGUGUUGGACAAACAACGUCAAAUUUAACCAAAUUUAUAUUCAGUAUUGUUAAUAUUUAUAUCAAAUAUAUUAUACUAGAACUUAUAAUACAUAGUGAAAUGAACUACGAGCUUUCCAAAGAACCCCAACGUACUUCUUUGCUAAAGAAGACUAUUUUGUACGUGCAUGCAUAGGCAACUAAUUCUUCUAACUAGUUGUUAUAACAUUUUAUUUUAUAUAUUAGUCAGUUGUCAGUAUGUUACUAUGGUUUUCAUAUUCACAAUAUUUAUAAUAUACAUUCUUUCUAGAACAUGAAUAAAAAUGUGUUCAGUGGUUAGACGCUAAGCAUAGGAGGAAUGGUUCUAACCCUAGGUUCUGCAUUUUUUGGAUUUUCUCAUGGGAGAACUUAAUGCAUAAAGGGCGACAUCUUAAUUAAUGUUGGAAAUUGUACAAGUAAUGCAUGCAAAUGGUGAAGACAGAAGUUUUAUCUCAUGAGUAGAAAGCUCAUGUUAUGUAGCACGAAUGAACACCUUAGCUUCGACCUUCAAAGAACGGCCAACACACAUUAAGGAUGGCCCUACAUCUAGAAUUAGCAUGUACUAUCAUAUAUUUCAAUUAGUCAUAAAAAUAUGUAUUCUAUUAAAAUGUAGCAAUGCAUGAUAAAGUUAGGAUUACGUAGGAGAUACAUGGACAACACAACAUUCAUGGAUCCUUUUAUAAAAAUGAAGGCCAAUCAAAUAUUUCAUUAGGCACUUAUUAUAUAACUUGUCAAUCCAUUUCUUAACUCUUCUCUUUUAAACAACAGCAAAGUCUCACUCUAGCUAUAUAUGGAGAUGGAGAAGAUGGAGAAGGAGGAUGACGCCAUUAUUAUUGGCGCCAGCAUCACUGUCGUAAUAGGGUAGUGGUAGCAAAUAGAUAUCACGGUCCAAUGCAUGCAUGUGUAAUGCAUUGCUUGGGAUCCAACCCAAUCUAGUAUAGCUAGCAUAGGCCGGCUUAAAGUAUUGUCAGCACUAAAGUUAAUUAUUUGACGAUGUAGGCGGUGUUGGCCUUCCAGUUGGCAGGGAUGACAUCGUCGUAGACGGUCUUGGUGCCUCCCUCGGUAGUGAGGCGGACGGUGAGGGGUCCCUUAAGCGGUUUGUCACUGUCCUUCCUCCAGAUGGCGCCCUAGGAGUGCUUCAGGGGCUCGUACGUGUCGGAGCCCUUCUCCUUGAUGUCCACCGCCACAAUGUCACCGUCGCCGUCGACGUACUUGACCAGCAGCGCCAGGUAGUUGGGGCCACACCCCUUUUCAAGGUGGAAGGUGACCUUGGAGCCGUACUUGCACUUGACCCUUCGGAACUGCAUGUCGAUGAUGCCCGCCUUGCGCAGCUUCUCCUCCUCACCCUUCUUGGCCAUGGCGCCGAACGUCGUGCCUGCCAAAUCGAAGUGGUACGCCGCGAUAGGCUCAUAGUUCAUAUCCGUGAUGUGCACCACCACGGGCUUGCCGGAGCACUCCACAAGCUUAUCGCACUUGAUCUCGAAGCAGGACCCACAACCCAGACCAUCCUUGAAGAUGGGGAUGUUCCCGCACGCGCCCAUGCUAUUGAAGGGGGGCUUGUUCACGUCCUUGUACCCGCAGCCUCCGCCGUUGUCGUCGGGACCGGCACCCGUCGGCUUGCCAUACCAUGUCGCUUUAGCGUCUAGCCAGUCCUUGCCAUAGGUGGCCGUGAUGUUCUUGCCAGGGGGACUUUGGGAGGACCGCACCAUGCACCGCUCACCAAGAACGCCAACGCCACAGCCAUCGCAACCUGUGCCUGCAUCAACGACCACAUGGUGCUCACAUUCACAACCAUGUUUUAUCUUGGAUCAGUGAAUUGUACUAUGCUACGAUGAAUGAGCGGGUAGACCUGAAUUUAUGGUUGUGCGUGCCAACGGUUGGACGAUCGAGCUUGCAACCGUGAAGCGCGCGCAUGCAUGCAACAACGAGGAGGUAGAGCUUGCAUGGUCGAGCGAGCUAUUCUCUUGGUCGCCAGUUUACUAAUUGGUUCCGUAAGUCGAAGGUGACCAUGCAUGGUAGCUCUGCAUGCAAAGAUGCUCGUAUGGUUGCGAUACUUAUGCCAUGGUGCUACUUUGGCUAAUGGUGAAGCGAGGACUCUCCUUCUUCUCGCUUUGAAAGGGAAAUAGCCUCAACAUUUCCUAUAAUUGAUUUUGGUGUUUGACGUCCAUCACAAAACCAUAUGGACUAAUUAGUUUGCCUAGUGGACAUUUUUCCCACGUGCAUAAAGUUCAUAUAAACAUACAAAGAAAAGGACUUGAGUGAAUUCUACAAAGUUUGGAGCAUAUAAGUUCUUGUGCUGCCAGUAGCGCACCGGACACUGUCCGGUACCCUGGCUGAGCACCUCGCGAACUGGUCGCUCUCGGGUUUUCUCAGCGUUAGUCCGCUAAAAUUCAUCGGACUAUCCGGUGCACCACCGUACUGUCCGGUGAGACAACAGAGCAACGGUCAACUUCGCGCAAUGGUCAACUUCGCUGACUACAGGGCAGUCUAUAGCGCAGAAGUCAGAAGUCUGUCUGCAAAGUCAGAAUACACCAGACUGUCCGGUGUGCCAUCGGACAGUCCGGUGCCACAAGAAGACAGAAGACUUCAACGGUCAACAGCUCCAAACCCCAACGGUCGGCUGACGUGGCACUCACCGGACAGUGAACAGUGCAGUGUCCGUUGCACCACCGGACUGUCCGGUGUGCCCAUCGACAGCAACGACUGGAAUAGUGGUUGGGGCUAUAAAUACCCCCGACCACCACCAUUCAAGCCAUCCAAGCAUUGCAACUUCCUCAUUCAAUAUUAGAGCAAAAGAAUACACUCCAAAGACACAAUCAAAGCAUCAAAUCCUCUUCAAGCUUCAAAAUCAAGUCAAGUGAUCAAAAGUGCUUAGUGACUUGAGAGAGGCUGAUUUGUGUUUGUUUUGUUGCUCUUGUUGCUUGGUUGCAUUCUUCUUCUCAUUCUAAACUUCUCAAGUGUUUUGUAAAGCAAGCGAGAGACACCUAAUUGUGUGGUGAUCCUUGCGGGGUCUUAGUGACCCGCGUGAUUAAGAAGAUGCACUUAACCGGUCUAAGUGACCGAUUGAGAGAGGGAAAGGGUUGGAAUAGACCCAGCCUUUGUGGCCUCCUCAAUGGGGAGUAGGUUCCAUGGAACCGAACCUCGGGAAACAAAUCACCGUGUUCACUUGUGUUGAUCUUUAUCACUCGAUUUGUUUCUUCCCUCUCCUCUCUCUCUAAAAGUUCCCUUGCUCACAUUGAUUUGAGUUUGCUCCCAAACUUAUCCGCAUUGAUUGAGCAACUCAUAGCAAGGAGAACUAUCUUCCGCUCUCCGAAUUCAAUAUUAAUUAUCUCUAACCCUAACCCUGUGCGAAGUGCGUGUUCAAAGUAUAUAAUUUUUAGGUUUCGCCUAUUCAUCGCCUCUAGGCGAGUUUCAUGCUUCCUAUGGAAGAAUGUCAUUGUUGCCACAUAUCUUUAAGUCAUUAUAUUGGAGCAAAGUGGUGUAACCAUGUCAACCUCUAUUAUUCGUGGAAACGAUCCUUCAGGGAUUGUCGCAAGUUAAUUGGUAUAUCAAAUGUGCGAAUGUAGGAUUUAAACAUAGUGUAAUCUUCAAGACUCCACAUCUACAUGAAUAGCUAGAAAGAUGACUUGUCUACUCAAUUAUAGGGAAUUGAACCAUAAACAUUCGGGGUACUCCAAUUAUACAAAAAAUGUAAUUUUGAGAUUCGUAUUGGACAAAUGAGGUCAAAUUUAACCAAAUUUAUAUUCAGUAAUGUUAAUAUUUAUAUCAAAUAUAUUAUACUAGAACUUUUAAUACACAGUGAAAUGAACUACGAGCUUUCCAAAGAACCCCAACGUUCUUCUUUGUUAAAAAUACAAUUUUGUACGCGCAUGCAUAGGCAACUAAUUCUUCUAACUAGUUGUUAUAACAUUUUAUUUUAUAUAUAGUAGUCAGUUGUCAGUAUGUUACUAUGGUUUUCAUAUUCACAAUAUUUAUAAUAUACAUUCUUCUAGAACAUGAAUAAAUAUGUGUUUCGGUGGUUAGACGCUAAGCAUAGGAGGAAUGGUUCUAACCCUAGGUUCUGCAUUUUUUGGAUUUUGUCAUGGGAGAACUUAAUGCAUAAAGGGCGAUAUCUUAAUUAAUGUUGGAAAUUGUACAAGUAAUGCAUGCAAAUGGUGAAGACAGAAGUUUUAUCUCAUGAGUAGAAAGCUCAUGUUAUGUAGCACGAAUGAACACCUUAGCUUCGACCUUCAAAGAAUGACCAACGCACGUUAAUGAUGGCCCUACAUCUAGAAUCAACAUGUACUGUCAUAUAUUUCAAUUAGUCAUAAAAAAUAUGUAUUCUAUUAAAAUGUAGCCAUGCAUGAUAAAGUUAGGAUUACGUAGGAGAUACAUGGACAACACAACAUUCAUGGAUCCUUUUAUAACAAAUGAAGGCCUAUCAAAUAUUUCAUUAGGCACUUAUUAUAUAACUUGUCAAUCCAUUUCUUAACUCUUCUCUUUUAAACAACAGCGAAGUCUCACUCUAGCUAUAUAUGGAGAUGGAGAAGAUGGAGAAGGAGGAUGACGCCAUUAUUGUUGGCGCCAGCAUCACUGUCGUAAUAGGGUAGUGGUAGCAAAUAGAUAUCACGGUCCAAUGCAUGCAUGUGUAAUGCAUUGCUUGGGAUCCAACCCAAUCUAGUAUAGCUAGCAUAGUCCGGCUUAAAGUAUUGUUAGCACUAAAGUUAAUUAUUUGGCGGUGUAGGCGGUGUUGGCCUUCCAGUUGGCAGGGAUGACAUCGUCGUAGACGGUCUUGGUGCCUCCCUCGGUAGUGAGGCGGACGGUGAGGGGUCCCUUAAGCGGUUUGUCGCUGUCCUUCCUCCAGAUGGCACCCCAAGAGUGCUUCAGGGGCUCGUACGUGUCGGAGCCCUUCUCCUUGAUGUCCACCGCCACAAUGUCACCGUCGCCGUCGACGUACUUGACCAGCAGCGCCAGGUAGUUGGGGCCGCACCCCUUUUCAAGAUGGAAGGUGACCUUGGAGCCGUACUUGCACUUGACCCUUCGGAACUGCAUGUCGAUGAUGCCCGCCUUGCGCAGCUUCUCCUCCUCACCCUUCUUGGCCAUGGCGCCGAACGCCGUGCCUGCCAAAUCGAAGUGGUACGCCGCGAUAGGCUCAUAGUUCAUGUCUGUGAUGUGCACCACCACGGGCUUGCCGGAGCACUCCACAGGCUUAUCGCACUUGAUCUCGAAGCAGGACCCACAACCCAGACCAUCCUUGAAGAUGGGGAUGUUGCCGCACGCGCCCAUGCUAUUGAAGGGGGGCUUGUUCACGUCCUUGUACCCGCAGCCGCCACCAUUGUCGUCGGGACCGGCACCCGUCGGCUUGCCAUACCAUGUUGCUUUAGCGUCUAACCAGUCCUUGCCAUAGGUGGCCGUGAUGUUCUUGCCAGGGGGGACUUUGGGAGGACCGCACCAUGCACCGCUCACCAAGAAGGACAACGCCACAACCAUCGCAACUUGUGCCUGCAUCAACGACCACAUGGUGCUCACAUUCACAGCCAUAUUUUGUCUUGGAUCAGUGAAUGGUACUAUGCUACGAUGAAUGAGCUGGUAGACCUGAAUUUAUGGUUGUGCGUGCCAACGGUUGGACGAUCGAGCUUGCAACCGUGAAGCGCGCGCAUGCAUGCUGCAACAAGGAGGUAGAGCUUGCACGGUCGAGCGAGCUAUUCUCUUGGCCGCCAGUUUACUAAUUGGUUCCGUAAGUCGAAGGUGACCAUGCAUGGUAGCUCUGCAUGCAAAGAUGCUCGUAUGGUCGCGAUACUUAUGCCAUGGUGCUACUUUGGCUAAUGGUGAAGCGAGGACUCUCCUUCUUCUCGCUUUGAAAGGGAAAUAGCUUCAACAUUUCCUGUAAUCGAUUUUGGUGUUUGACGUCCAUCACAAAACCAUAUGGACUAAUUAGUUUGCCUACUGGACAUUUUUCCCACGUGCAUAAAGUUCAUAUAAACAUACAAAGAAAAGGACUUGAGUGAAUUCUAUAAAGUUUGGAGCAUAAAAGUUCUUGUGCUGCCAGUAGCACACCGGACACUAUCCGGUACCCUGGUGAGGACCUCGCGAACUGGUCACUCUCAGGUUUUCUCUGCGUUAGUCCACUAAAAUUCAUCGGACUGUCCGGUGCACCACCGUACUGUCCAGUGAGACAACAGAGCAACGAUCAACUUCGCGCAACGGUCAACUUCGCUGACUACAGGGCAGUCUGCAGCGCAGAAGUCAGAAGUCAGUCUGCAAAGUCAGAACACACCAGACUGUCCGGUGCCACAAGAAGACAGAAGACUUCAACGGUCAACAGCUCCAAACCCCAAAGGUCGGCUGACGUGGCACUCACCGGACAGUGAACAGUGCAGUGUUCGUUGCACCACCGGACUGUCUGGUGUGCCCAUCGACAGCAACAGCUGGAAUAGUGGUUGGGGCUAUAAAAACCCCCGACCACCACCAUUCAAGCCAUCCAAGCAUUGCAACUUACUCAUUCAAUACUAGAGCAAAAGAAUACACUCCAAAGACACAAUCAAAGCAUCAAAUCCUCUUCAAGCUUCAAAAUCAAGUCAAGUGAUCAAAAGUGCUUAGUGACUUGAGAGAGGUUGAUUUGUGUUUGUUUUGUUGCUCUUGUUGCUUGGUUGCAUUCUUCUUCUCAUUCUAAACUUCUCAAGUGUUUUGUAAAGCAAGCGAGAGACACCUAAUUGUGUGGUGAUCCUUGCGGGGUCUUAGUGACCCGCGUGAUUAAGAAGAUGCACUUAACCGGUCUAAGUGACCGAUUGAGAGAGGGAAAGGGUUGGAAUAGACCCAGACUUUGUGGUCUCCUCAAUGGGGAGUAGGUUCCUUGGAACCGAACCUCGAGAAACAAAUCACCGUGUUCACUUGUGUUGAUCUUUAUCACUCGAUUUGUUUCUUCCCUCUCCUCUCUCUCUCUCUCUAAAAGUUCCCUUGCUCACAUUGAUUUGAGUUUGCUCCCAAACUUAUCCGCAUUGAUUGAGCAACUCAUAGCAAGGAGAACAAUCUUCAGCUCUCCGAAUUCAAUAUUAAUUAUCUCUAACCCUAACCCUGUGCGAAGUGCGUGUUCAAAGUAUAUAAUUUUUAGGUUUCGCCUAUUCACCCCCUCUAGGCGAGUUUCAUGCUUGCCACAUAUUUUAAGUCAUUAUAUUGGAGCAAAGUGGCGUAACCAUGUCAACCUCUAUUAUUCGUGGAAAUGAUCCUUCAGGGAUUGUCGCAAGUACGUUAAUUGGUAUAUCAAAUGUGCGAAUGUAGGAUUUAAACAUAGUGUAAUCUUCAAGACUCCACAUCUAUAUGAAUAGCUAGAAAGAUGACUUGUCUAGACAAUUAUAGAGAAUUGAACCAUAAACAUUCGGGGUACUCCAAUUAUACAAAAAAAUGUAAUUAUGAGAUUCGUGUUGGACAAAUGAGGUCAAAUUUAACCAAAUUUAUAUUCAGUAUUGUUAAUAUUUAUAUCAAAUAUAUUAUAAUAGAACUUUUAAUACACAGUGAAAUGAACUGCGAGCUUUCCAAAGAACCCCAACGUUCUUCUUUGCUAAAAAGACUAUUUUGUACGCGCAUGCAUAGGCAACUAAUUCUUCUAACUAGUUGUUAUAACAUUUUAUUUUAUAUAUAGUAGUCAGUUGUCAGUAUGUUACUAUGGUUAUCAUAUUCACAAUAUUUAUAAUAUACAUUCUUCUAGAACAUGAAUAAAUAUGUGUUUCAGUGGUUAGACGCUAAGCAUAGGAGGAAUGGUUCUAACCCUAGGUUCUGCAUUUUUUGGAUUUUCUCAUGGGAGAACUUAAUGCAUAAAGGGCGACAACUUAAUUAAUGUUGGAAAUUGUGAUACCCGGUUUGCAAAGAAGAGAAGUUGGGGAUUGUUCUUUUUGUUUUUUUCCUCAUCCGGUUGUUGUUUUGGGGAUUUGGAAUUUUGUGGAAAACAUUCACAACUAGGGCAGUAGAAUUUAUUUGGUUUGACGCUAGCAUUGUGGUCGGGAGCUGUCGCGUGGGUUAGUUGGGCCGCAAUAGGUGUUUCGGCCCAUUAACCCUCCCAAACCCUAGCCGCCUCCCUCCUAACCCCCUCCCCCCAUGUGCAGCCCCCCCACUUCUCCUCCUCCCCUUGGCCGCCGCCCCCCUGCCCAUCUCCUCCUCUCUCAAUUUUUGCAGCCACCAAACCCUAGCCCCCCCCCCCCUCAAUCCCCUCAUCCCAAGGUGCCAAUCCUUGCCGCUCGGAUCGUCGUCUCGUGGUGCGAUUCUCCAACCGUUUUGGUGGAGGGAAGAAGGGAGGAAGGAAAGGGGGAGAACCCAAGGUGAUUUUUGUGUUCAUCCCUUGUUCAUUUGCGCUGCGAUUCAAUUGAUUAGAUGUUGCGUUUGCGAUUAGAUAGAGGGGGGCUGUCCAGAAUUUUACGUGGUGGAUGAACAGCGGAAGUUCUAGCAGUUUUUAGGGUUUUUUCGUGAAGAAUUAAUGGGGAUCAAUUUGGGGAUCUUGUAGAACUUUGUUUUACCUUUCCAACGAGUAUUUAUGCGCUCAAUUUGGAGUUAUAAAUUAAAAGUUAUCAUCGUUUGAAUCCGGGUGUGUGGCUGUCCAAAAAAACAGAUUUUUCAGAGUGAUGAACAGCAGCAGUAUUAGCAGUUUCUGGGGAUUUUUCGGGAGUAAUUAGUGUUAAUCAGUAUGAGAAUCAUGUAGGGCUUUUUCUUAUCUUUCCAACAAGUACUUAUGCGCUCAAAUCGGAAUUAUAUUUUAAAAGUUAUCGCUGUUUGAAUCCGAGUAUGUCGCUGCCCAAAUCAGAAAAAAACAGAUUGCAUGGUUUAUUUUGUGGACCGUUUAGAGGUAAUUAGAUGUUAGAAUUUAAUCAUGAGUUGUAUACAAAACUUGUGGGGAAUUUUAUGUAGUUGUCUCUGAAGUUUUUGUUUGACACCACUGCUGUCCUAAUUUUUAAGUUAUGGAAUUGUUAAGCAGCGCCGCUGCAGUUUGGUUAGUGAGGGGAGAAUUGUUACCGCGGCGGGGUUUGAGAUUGUGCGUAGGUGCGGUGUUGUCUUUGAGUUUUUUUAUGUGAAUUUGGUGCACUAAGUUGGGUGUCAAAAACAGGUGGUGGACUUCCGGAUCGUUCUUAGGGAUUUUGCCCAAACUUCGGUGAAGGCAAGUAAAACUGUGAUGGUUAUUCCGUCGGUCAGAUGAGGAGUCUUAUACUUGUUUAUGUUGUGCUAUCAUGUUCAAAUUCAUAUUUUCUUUUGAGUACCAUCAUUUGAAAAUGUUCAUGUUUCAUGGAUUUCAUAUGUUGAGUUUGAGGUUUGAUUAUGUUACUCAAGUGGUUAUUAUGUGGAAUGGUUGGAAGUAAAUGCCUAGCACAUUUUUAUUUGGGAAGAACUUAUGAUGUUGUCAUGCAUAAUGCACUCAUCAUCUAUUGCAUUGAAGUUUCGUCGCGAUCUUAUGGUCCGACCGUACCGGUACAUUGAGCAUCAUAUGUUGCCCGAGAAGGGGUAUGGUGCAGCUUCAUAUCCUUAGAGAUAUGGAGGCAGAAGUCAUUAUUGCAUUUGUAGCCAUGUGCAUUCAUGGGAGAGGUGUUGAAUCUAUUAUGUGGAUGUGGAUAAUUUGGACUUGUGCAUGGUGAUUCUACUUGGCGUUGAGUUUUUAGUUACUUGUAUACUUGCUGCAAUUUACUGUUCAAAAGAAAAGAAAGAAGUCCUGAACACGUGGUUGUGUAAGCACAGUUGAUUUACAAAGGCCUACUUGUUGUUGUUAUGUUUACUUGCUGAGAUGUGUUAUCUCACAUCUUGCAUUGUUUGAUGCAGACACCUAAUUUCUGCUUUGGGAAAUAAAGGGGAUGUAGCAGCACGGCCACUACACCUUUAAUAAAGGAACCACCAUUUAAUAAUGUUGAUAAUCAGAGUUGGACAAGUCUAGUGAAUUGCUUUGUUCUUGGUUGAGCGUUUAUUUUUGUCACACCCGGUUUUAGAAGGCAAACCGAAUGCGAACCAUGUACGUGCCAGGAUCAGUUAUUCACGUACACAGCAGUUACAUAAUAUGGACAUCAUCACACAGUGCUCAAAAUAGUAUUAAUAAGGGAAAUAGUCGAUUACAUCAUACGUCUGAGACGCCCAUAUAGUCCUUACAAUAAAUCAAAGUGCGGAAAAGAAACGUAGAUAACCGCGGCCUUCACUGGCAGCCGACUGGGGGUUGCCGCUAACCCACACCUAGAACUCGUCGUAAUCUUGGAACUCCUGGAAGUCUCCUUCCACGGCUUCAUCUUCGCCUGAGCAGUGGUUGCAAUGCUGACAACCUGGGGAUGGGGGGGUUUGGUGUGUAGAGCAAGGGUGAGUACACAUCAACAUACUCAGCAAGUAUCCUGUUUGGCUGUAGUGGACUAGCUUUAUGUGGGGAUAAGUCAAGCAGUUGCUUUUAGUUGGUCAGAUUAUUACUUACUAGUAGAAAGCCAAGUUUUAGCAUUAACCCAAGUUAUUAACCCAAACGUACUCCUUUCCAAACGGAAAGAGUACCACUUACCAGCAUCAUAGUCAUAACCAAAACCAUCAAUCUCAUAUCCACCUGUACCAAAGUAUCUCUGAUCAAGUACCACUAAUCACUGGAGCUCCCUUGGCCGCUCAUAACCGUGAGCACGGCUGAUAUAUCAGUUUUCAAACACUCUGCAGAGGUUGUGCACUUUACCCACAAGCCGUGAUUCCCAUUCUGCCCGGAGAUCAUGACUCUCCAUUGAUCACUACCAAGGUGACCCAGCAGGGCAUCACUACGUAGCCUUUACAAAGAUUCCCCGGGGCUGUAGCCACCCGUUAGGUUUCCUAAAUGCACCGCACUCCUCCCCAAGGGGCGAACCCAAACUUGGCAGAGCGAGCCGCAUACACCGAGCCCCAUUGACGGCACGACGGCUAAGUGAACUACACCCCGGAUCCUCUAAUUAUUCAGCUAAGGGCACCCCAUUCCACCCUCAUGGUUGCACUGUUUUCCCGGGCGGUCAUCCAUAGAACAGGUCCUUACGGAGAGGCACUCGAGAAACCGCUCGAGCCCCCUUGAUGACCACAAGCAUAACAUCAUAAUAAGAGAAGGGAAAACAGCGUAUCAUAGAUAAUCUCAUCAUGUUCAUUGAUUAGAGUUUAAGCAAUAGCAUAAAGCUAAACAGUAAUAAUCCAACCCAGAUAGGUAAACAAGGACAUGGAUAACAAAAGCUAGUCAAUCCUUAGGCAUAAAUGUGUAAAGCGGGAGGUGAAUUAAAUAAUGAAUAGGACAUAGAUAGGUCAAGGGACACUUGCCUCCACCAACCGUCUGCUGCUCAGGGGCUUCUCCUGCGAGUUCCUCAGGCUCUUCAACCGGAUCGUUCUCUAAGCGGGUGCAAACAUACAUACAUCCAUCCAUCGAAAUUAGGAAACCAACAGUACACCAUACAAGAGAACAAGUAAAGCAAAUAUGCAUAGAAUACCACAUACGAUAAUGAAUUUACCUUGGUUAGAAAGAAACGAGGGAAAGUUUCGCAGGGGUUGAGGCUUAUGCUCGAGGGACACUACGGGUAGACGAAAGACUAGACGUCACGUGCUCUAGUUUUAAUUAGUUCUAACAAAAGAAUUAGCUACAUGCACUAAUGUAAUCGCAACCACUUUUAGUAGAUUAACAUUGAACGAGAUAGAUGAUUAGUUAUACGAAUUAACUAACGUAACCAAUUUCCAAAUUGAGACUCCUAUCUUAUUAAUAUAAACGACGUGAUUAGCGCAUAUAGGAGACGGGGGGGUAGACGAGGGGUUAGGGGGUAGACGAGGCACGACGAGUCGUGCCAAGGCACGCGCAAUACGCGGGCACGCACGCGAGGCCGCACGCACACGCCGCGGACUAACCGUACGCACGUCGGAGCCGUGCGCUAGCCGAGCUCAAAGCCGCGCGCCAUAGGCACGCUGGGCCAAGCUCGAGGCCACGCAGGGGCCGACACGACGCGAGCAAGGCACGGCGGGGCGAGCGGGCAAGCACGCCGGGGAAAGCGAGCGCGGGCGAGCGAGGAUACGGUCGGGCGAGGCCGAACGCGGGGAUGGGCGGCCGAACCGGGGCACGGGGGCGGUUGAACCGGGGGGGGGGGCGGCCGAGCUUGCCGGAAGGCGGCCGAGCUCGCCGGGAGGGGCGGCUGGGCCGGGCCGGGGCGCGAGCGGCCGAGCCGAGGCCGGGGCAGCCGAGGCCGGGCGCGAGCGGUCGAGGCCGGGCGCGGGGCAGGGCGGGGUAGGGGCGGGACGCCGGGGGCGCGGGCGGCCGAGCUCGCCGGGCGCGGGGAAGGGCGGGGCGCGGCCGGGCGGGACGCCGGUGGCGCGGGCGGCCGAGCUCGCCGGGCGCGGGGAAGGGCGGGGCGCGGCCGGGCGGGACGCCGGUGGCGCGGGCCGCCGAGCUCGCCGGGCGCGGGGAAGGGCGGGGCGCGGCCGGGCGGGACGCCGGGGGGCGCGGGCUGGGCGGGGUCGCCGGGGCGGAGCCGGGCGAGGGCGACCGGGGCGCGAGACGGGGCGGGGUCGCCGGAGCGGGGCCGAGGACGGGGCGGUGUGCCGGGCGCCAUGGCCGCGAGCGCCAUGGCCGCGAGCGGCCGGGCCGAGCCGAGCGGCGGGGGCGCGACCGGCCGAGCCGGGGCCAAGGCGGGCGGCGCGGGGGAGGGCGCCGGGGAGAGGAGAGGGAGGAGGGAGAGGGAGGAGGAGGGAGGGGCCUCACCGGAGGGGAGAACGGCGGGGAGCGGCGGCGGCGCGGGGGAGGGCGCCGGUUAGGGUUUGGGGAGAGAGAGGGAGAGGGGAUGACGGGCGGGGCCCGCGGGAGGAUUUUUGGAAAAAAGAAAAGAGGUGGGGGGCGGCUGGGCCGGCUGGGCCCAAAGGGGGGGGAAGGGGGGCGCGCGGGUGGGCCGGCCGGGAGGCCCACGCGGGAGGGGAGGGGGAGGCGGCUUGGGCCGGCCAGGAGGCCCACGCGGGGGGGGGGAGAGGGGGGGCGGCUUGGGCCGAAAUGGGAAAGGGAGAGAGAGAAAAAGAAAAGGAUUUUCUUUUUCUAAAAUCUAAUUUUCUUUGGAUGAAUGCUUUCACAUUUUAAUCAAUCAAAAAAUAUGCAUGGUUUGGCAUGGUGCAUCACAGAAAAUAAAGUGUUUUAAGGUUUUGCUUCACACGAGGUCUAAAGCCAAAACCCGCUGCGACUUUGGAAAAGAUCAAGGCUUAGCGAGAAGAAAAGGGAAAAAGGAAAGAGUAACGCCUGAAUUUGGUGAGAGAAAAGAAGAAAAAAUUCUACCCCCAAAUUCAGGGCGUUACAAACCUAUCCCCCUUAAAAGAAUCUCGCCCUCGAGAUUCAGGGUUGGCUAGCAAAGAGCUCAGGGUAUUUGGCCAUCAGAUCAUCUUCACGCUCCCAGGUUGCUUCUUCCUCAGAGUGAUGAUCCCAUCUGACUUUGCACAUUCUGAUGGUCUUCCUUCGGGUGACUCGGUCUGCAACCUCAAGGAUCUGCACUGCCUUCUCAACGUAGGUCAAGUCCUCCUGGACUUCAAGACCUUCCACUGGCAACUGCUCUUCUGGCACACGCAAGCACUUCUUCAACUGAGACACGUGAAAGACAUCAUGCACAGCUGACAAAUUCUCGGGCAAACUGAGCUGAUAAGCCACUUCUCCACGUCUUGCAAGAAUCUGAUACGGACCGAUGUAGCGGGGUGCUAGCUUGCCUUUGACUCCGAACCUCUUGACCCCUCUGAUCGGUGACACUUUCAGAUAGACAAAGUCUCCGACUUCGAAACUCAGCUCUCUUCUUCUUGUGUCUGCAUAGCUUCGCUGCCUCGAUUGCGCUAUCUUCAGAUUCUCUCGGACCAUCUUGAUGUUCUCUUCGGCUUCAAGCAAAAUGUCUGGCCCAAACACUUGCUUCUCUCCAGGCUGAUCCCAUUGCAACGGAGUUCUACAACUCCUUCCAUAGAGCGCCUGAAAUGGUGACAUCUUCAAACUGGCCUGAUAACUGUUGUUAUAGGAAAACUCCGCAUAAGGCAAUCUCUUAUCCCAUCCGGACUGAUCUUGCAACGCACAGGCUCUCAACAUGUCUUCAAGAAUUUGGUUGGUCCUUUCGGUCUGGCCAUCUGUCUGCGGAUGAUAAGCUGAACUGAAAUUCAGAUGCGUGCCCAAGGCUUCAUGCAACUGCUGCCAGAAAUAAGAGGUGAACUGCGUUCCUCUGUCUGACACUAUCUUCUUUGGCACACCAUGAAGACAAACGAUCCGAGACAUAUACAAUUCUGCCAAUACUGCACUGCUGUAGUUGGUCUUGACAGGUAUGAAGUGGGCUGACUUGGUCAAGCGGUCCACUACUACCCAGAUGGAAUCAUAGCCGGCUCGAGUGCGAGGCAAUCCGACUAUGAAAUCCAUACCAAUUUCAUCCCAUUUCCACUGAGGGAUCUGCAACGGUUGCAACAAUCCAGCAGGUCUCUGGUGUUCUGCCUUAAUUCUUCGGCAACUAUCGCACAUAGCCACAUGCUCUGCGAUUUCCCUCUUCAUUCCGUACCACCAGAAUUUCUUCUUCAGAUCCUGAUACAUCUUCUCACUGCCAGGGUGAAUCGAAUAAGCUGUCUCAUGAGCUUCCUUGAGAAUCAACUCCCGAAUGGACUGGACAUUGGGAACACACAAGCGGUCUUUGAACCAUAUCACGCCUUCUGCAUCUUCUCGAAAAUCCUUGCCUUUUCCAUCUAGAAUCAGUCGCCGGAUCUCACUGAUCUUCUCAUCAUUCUUCUGCGCUUCUUUGAUUUCGCGCUCCAAGGUAGGUUCCAACUCAACUGUAACUCCUCGCGAAUUGUUCAGAAAUCCGAGACUCAACCUGUCAAACUCCUUGGCCAACUCAUAAGGCAUCGGACGAGCGACCAUCAGAUUGACUUGACUCUUUCUGCUCAAAGCAUCUGCCACUACAUUUGCUUUGCCUGGAUGGUAAUGAAUCUCCAACUCAUAGUCUUUGAUCAACUCUAACCAUCUUCGUUGCCUCAUGUUCAACUUUGACUGAGUGAAUAUGUACUUCAGACUCUUAUGGUCUGUGUAAACAUCGCAUUUCUGUCCAUACAAAUAGUGCCUCCAUGUCUUCAGUGCGUGAACCACUGCUGCCAACUCUAGGUCAUGGAUUGGGUAAUUCUUCUCAUGAACCUUCAACUGUCGGGACGAGUAAGCCACAACUCUUCCCUCUUGCAUCAACACACAUCCCAAACCUGUGUAACAAGCAUCACAAUACACCGAGAAGGGCUUGUGUACAUCAGGCAAGACUAAGACAGGCGCUGUAGUCAACUUCUCUUUUAGCGCUUCAAAGGCCUCUUGGCAUUUCUGGGUCCACUUGAACUCAACUUUGUUGCCUAGCAACGCUGUCAUUGGUUUCGCAAUCUUCGAAAACCCUUCAAUGAAUCGCCGAUAAUAUCCGGCCAUUCCAAUGAAGCUCUUGAUUCCUCUAGCAUCUGUUGGCGCUUUCCAGUUCAGAAUGUCUGCCACUUUCUUCGGAUCCACAGCCAAUCCUUCUUUGUUGAUUAUGUGACCCAAGAACAGGACUUCACUGAUCCAGAACUCACACUUGCUCAACUUUGCAUACAGUUGGUGCUCUCGCAAUCUCUGCAAUACCAUCCUCAAAUGAUCUGCGUGCUCUUCUUCGCUUUGAGAAUAAACCAGAAUAUCAUCAAUGAAUACCACCACAAACUUAUCAAGGUAAUCCAUGAAUACACUGUUCAUCAAGUUCAUGAAGAAUGCGGGCGCAUUGGUCAAACCGAAAGACAUCACUGUGAACUCGUACAAACCAUACUUGGAAAUGAAUGCCGUCUUCGGAAUGUCCGAAGGUCGGAUCCUGAGCUGAUGAUAACCUGACCUCAGAUCAAUCUUCGAGAACACACUGGCUCCUCUCAACUGGUCGAACAGAUCUUCUAUUCUGGGCAAGGGAUACUUGUUCUUGAUCGUGACCUCAUUCAAAGCUCGAUAAUCGAUACACAUUCUCUUGGUGCCGUCUUUCUUCUCCACAAAUAGGACAGGGGCGGCCCAAGGCGAGGUGCUUGGCCGAAUGUAACCUUUCUCUGACAGCUCAUCAAUCUGCUCCUUAAGCUCAACCAACUCUGGUCCAGAUAUUCUGUAAGCUCUCUUGAAGAUAGGGGCGGUUCUGGGAAGAAGCUCUAUGCCAAAUUCAACUUUCCGCUCUGGUGGCAUGCCCGGUAAGUCCUUCGGAAACACAUCUGAGAACUCAGACACAACCUUGAUACUCUCAAUUGGGUCUGCUCCACUGCUAUCAACAGUUAUUCGAUAACAACUUCCUUUCUUUGGCUCAGGCGGGACUAACUCGGUUACCACUUCCUCUCCUAGUGGGGACACCAACUUGAUGGUCCUUUUAUCACAACCGAUAACUGCCUGAUACUUAUCUAGCCAAUUCAUCCCUAGGAUGACAUCUAUUCCCUGAGUACCCAUUACUAUAAGGUUGGCGGGAAACGCUAUCCCCCUUAUUUUCACACUUAUAUUCAAACAAAUGCUAUCGGCUCGAAUUCUACCACCGGCUGAGUCGAUUUGAAUGGGGGUUGACAUGGUAGUAAUUGGAAGAUUAUGUGCUUCUACCCAUGAUGCAGUAAUGAAAGAAUGCGUUGCUCCAGUAUCAAAUAACACUUCUGCAAUAUGGGAGUCGACUGGGAACAUACCUACUAUCAUGCCGGGGGUCUCCUGAACUGCUUCCGCCUCCAAGUGGUUCAGUCUUCCAUGAUUAUAGCGCGGCUGAGAGCGAUUGCCUGUUCCAGGCUAAGGCACAUUCUGCUUUGCUGGGGCAUUGGGGCCUGACCGCUGCUGGGCUGCCUUCUUCGGGCAUUGCAUCACCCAGUGGCCUUGCUCUCCACAGUGGAAACAUGCCCUGUUUCCAACCUGAGCUGGUGCUGCCUGAUUGUUCUGCUGAUUUGCUGGGGCAGGAAGGCGAGGUGCUUGCUGAUUCUGCCUCUGAAACUGACCUCCUGACUGAUUGCUCUGACGGUUCUGGUACUGAUGCUGAGGAUACUGCCUUUGAAACUGCUGAUGCUGCUGAGGUGGACGCUGGUUCUGCCUGAACUGCUGAGGUUGAUUGCCUGAGAAACGAGGACGAUUGCUGCUUCCAGGCUGGGGUCCACUGAUCUUGCGCUUACGAUCCUCCAUCUCCUUACGCUUUCUCUCUGUCAUGAUUGCUCUGUCGAUCAGGUGCUGGAAUGUCGGGAAGGUGUGAUUCAUCAGCUGAUACUGGAGAGGGUCAACCAAGCCUCUCAGGAAACGAUACUGCCGCUUGGCAUCGGUGUUGACAUCUUCAGGAGCAUAGCGAGACAAUUGCAGAAACUUGUCCCGGUACUCACUGACAGACAAUGGCCCUUGCUUGAGGGCCAGGAACUCCUCCUUUUUCACUGUCAUCAGACCUGCAGGAACAUGGUACUGACGAAAGCUACCUCUGAACUCUUCCCAAGUGAUGGCGUCAGGGUGGGCAUGGGUGGCGAGGUAAGACUCCCACCAUGAUUGGGCUGCUCCUCUCAACAGACGGGGACCAUACAGGACUUUCUCCCUGUCAUCGCACUGAGCGGUAUGCAACUCCCGCUCCACAGUGCGCAGCCAAUCUUCAGCAUCCAUAGGGUCAGAAGAAUGAGCGAACGUUGGUGGAUGACCUCUCAUGAAUUCAGCACGCUUGUCUCUGGGCAUCUGAGGCAUCUGAGGCUGAGGUGGGGCCUGCUGCUGCUGCUGCUGAAUGGCGGCCAGAGUCUGACCGAUGGCUUGAACUGCCUGAGUCUGCAUCAGAAACAUCUGCUCGAUCGACAUCGGGGGCGGGGGCGGCAGGUGCUGCUGCUGGGGCUCCUCCUCCUGUUGAGCGGCUCGCUCCUGCUGAGCACGCCUUCCUCCUCUGCGCCUGUUCUCUGACAUCUGCAGAAUGCAACCACACAUCAGAACUGAUCUGGCAAAUCUUGCAGCAUAAGGAAAGAGAAUAGAAUUCUUCAACAGCACUGAACAGGUGAGCAUCUUCACUGAUCUCCAACACAGACCACACAGCUUCUCAGAUAGAAAGGAAAGUGGAAUAAAAGGGGUUUCCCAACUAUAUAAUUAACUCCAUUAAUAUAAUAGGCAAACCAAAAUGCAGGGGGUACCCACACUCUGGUGACAAUCAUUACAAAGAUCCAAACUAAACAUAGUUCAUCAUGACAAACAUAAAUGCACAGGAUAUAGCAAACUACCCUGUCUAACUAAGACUAACUAAGACCGAGACUAACGCUAAGACUGAAGCUUCUACGUAUAUAUAUUUCGUAUUAAUUACAAGAUCCAACUCUAACGAUCUAUGGUUCUAGAGUUAUCUUGGUCUUGCAGGCGGGAUUGCCAUAAGACUGGUGUCCACGCUGAGGUGAGCGGUACGGGUGCUGAGUCCCAACGGGAGCGGGGGAACCACCAUCCAGGUGACGACGUUCCGCGCGCUCAGCCCGCAGCAGGGCGAUCUCAGCACGAGCCCUACUCAGCUCGUCUAAUGCAUGGUCCAGCUCCGUGUUUAGCACGGCGGCUAGGUUGACUGUGCUGCUCAACCUAGGAUUGCCCUCACCGACAGGUGAGACAAUCACGCCUCCUGUGCUGCCAGAUGGACGGCGGGGGUAAUACUUCAGGUCAAGACCGUCAGCUGCCCCACCGAAAACCGAGCAGUAGUGCGAAAGCGCACGCCGUGCAGCAUCUUGCAUGGCUGCCUCAGCUGAGUCCCGUUUAGAGAUAGAAUAGUGCUCUGAACAGGCCUCUGCACCCUGGAGACUGUUCUCCGGGCAGCGCACCAAGCAAGUCGCCUCCCAGCGGUCCGGGUAGACCCCGCGACUGUGCUGGUAGACCACACAGCGAUACUCGACGGACCAAGUAUGCCGGUCAAAUGCCCGACGUAGCAGGGUGUCGAGCGCAUCGUGGAAGUGACACCCGCGAGCAGCGUCGCGAGUGAUGGGUCGAGCAACCCAUCCUUCCGGCUCAAGGUUAGCAGAGAAGUCGGUGUCGUGGCUCGAGCUGUCGUCGCCAUCUCCGUCGUCUGGGUCUCCUCCAGCAGCUACUCCAGAAGCUGGGGCGCCCAGUGGUGGUGCAGGGAGCGGCUCCAGAGGAAGCACAGGGGAGCAGCUCCUCACAGACUCUAUCUCCUGGUGGAGCGAGAAAGAAGAGCUCUGCUGCUCCUGUCGUCGACGUUCCUGCUCCUCACGCAGGCGGUGGUGUAGUCUCUCCAAGUGGCUGGACUGUCCGGCCACGGGACGGCGAAGCGGACGCUCAGCAAGGCGGGAGGGUAAGAAGGGGAUGACUGACUUUCGUGCAGUGUAUCUAAGUCGAGCCAUCUACAAAAGACAUCGCAAGCAAAAGGGUGAGAACAGAAUUCAUAUGACCAGCAAGUAAUGAACCAUAAGUAAAUGAAGGAUUAGAAUAAAACAUGAUUUUCAGCAAGGUAUAAUAUAUAGUAGAACAUAGGUGUGGUCGGUAUGACCAACUUUUGAAGGGAUAUCAAAGUCAAGGCAGAGACAGAGGUCUAUAGUCCUUAGAACGACCAUUCUACUCUAGGUUAGCGGUCCUACAGUCAGCACGGCUUUGAUACCACUUAUGUCACACCCGGUUUUAGAAGGCAAACCGAAUGCGAACCAUGUACGUGCCAGGAUCAGUUAUUCACGUACACAGCAGUUACAUAAUAUGGACAUCAUCACACAGUGCUCAAAAUAGUAUUAAUAAGGGAAAUAGUCGAUUACAUCAUACGUCUGAGACGCCCAUAUAGUCCUUACAAUAAAUCAAAGUGCGGAAAAGAAACGUAGAUAACCGCGGCCUUCACAGGCAGCCGACUGGGGGUUGCCGCUAACCCACACCUAGAACUCGUCGUAAUCUUGGAACUCCUGGAAGUCUCCUUCCAUGGCUUCAUCUUCGCCUGAGCAGUGGUUGCAAUGCUGACAACCUGGGGAUGGGGGGGUUUGGUGUGUAGAGCAAGGGUGAGUACACAUCAACAUACUCAGCAAGUAUCCUGUUUGGCUGUAGUGGACUAGCUUUAUGUGGGGAUAAGUCAAGCAGUUGCUUUUAGUUGGUCAGAUUAUUACUUACUAGUAGAAAGCCAAGUUUUAGCAUUAACCCAAGUUAUUAACCCAAACGUACUCCUUUCCAAACGGAAAGAGUACCACUUACCAGCAUCAUAGUCAUAACCAAAACCAUCAAUCUCAUAUCCACCUGUACCAAAGUAUCUCUGAUCAAGUACCACUAAUCACUGGAGCUCCCUUGGCCGCUCAUAACCGUGAGCACGGCUGAUAUAUCAGUUUUCAAACACUCUGCAGAGGUUGUGCACUUUACCCACAAGCCGUGAUUCCCAUUCUGCCCGGAGAUCAUGACUCUCCAUUGAUCACUACCAAGGUGACCCAGCAGGGCAUCACUACGUAGCCUUUACAAAGAUUCCCCGGGGCUGUAGCCACCCGUUAGGUUUCCUAAAUGCACCGCACUCCUCCCCAAGGGGCGAACCCAAACUUGGCAGAGCGAGCCGCAUACACCGAGCCCCAUUGACGGCACGACGGCUAAGUGAACUACACCCCGGAUCCUCUAAUUAUUCAGCUAAGGGCACCCCAUUCCACCCUCAUGGUUGCACUGUUUUCCCGGGCGGUCAUCCAUAGAACAGGUCCUUACGGAGAGGCACUCGAGAAACCGCUCGAGCCCCCUUGAUGACCACAAGCAUAACAUCAUAAUAAGAGAAGGGAAAACAGCGUAUCAUAGAUAAUCUCAUCAUGUUCAUUGAUUAGAGUUUAAGCAAUAGCAUAAAGCUAAACAGUAAUAAUCCAACCCAGAUAGGUAAACAAGGACAUGGAUAACAAAAGCUAGUCAAUCCUUAGGCAUAAAUGUGUAAAGCGGGAGGUGAAUUAAAUAAUGAAUAGGACAUAGAUAGGUCAAGGGACACUUGCCUCCACCAACCGUCUGCUGCUCAGGGGCUUCUCCUGCGAGUUCCUCAGGCUCUUCAACCGGAUCGUUCUCUAAGCGGGUGCAAACAUACAUACAUCCAUCCAUCGAAAUUAGGAAACCAACAGUACACCAUACAAGAAAACAAGUAAAGCAAAUAUGCAUAGAAUACCACAUACGAUAAUGAAUUUACCUUGGUUAGAAAGAAACGAGGGAAAGUUUCGCAGGGGUUGAGGCUUAUGCUCGAGGGACACUACGGGUAGACGAAAGACUAGACGUCACGUGCUCUAGUUUUAAUUAGUUCUAACAAAAGAAUUAGCUACAUGCACUAAUGUAAUCGCAACCACUUUUAGUAGAUUAACAUUGAACGAGAUAGAUGAUUAGUUAUACGAAUUAACUAACGUAACCAAUUUCCAAAUUGAGACUCCUAUCUUAUUAAUAUAAACGACGUGAUUAGUGCAUAUAGGAGACGGGGGGGGGGGGGGUAGACGAGGGGUUAGGGGGUAGACGAGGCACGACGAGUCGUGCCAAGGCACGCGCAAUACGCGGGCACGCACGCAAGGCCGCACGCACACGCCACGGACUAACCGUACGCACGUCGGAGCCGUGCGCUAGCCGAGCUCAAAGCCGCGCGCCAUAGGCACGCUGGGCCAAGCUCGAGGCCACGCAGGGGCCGACACGACGCGAGCAAGGCACGGCGGGGCGAGCGGGCAAGCACGCCGGGGAAAGCGAGCGCGGGCGAGCGAGGAUACGGCCGGGCGAGGCCGAACGCGGGGAUGGGCGGCCGAACCGGGGCACGGGGGCGGUUGAACCGGGGGGGGGCGGCCGAGCUCGCCGGGAGGGGCGGCUGGGCCGGGCCGGGGCGCGAGCGGCCGAGCCGAGGCCGGGGCAGCCGAGGCCGGGCGCGGGGCAGGGCGGGGUAGGGGCGGGACGCCGGGAGCGCGGGCGGCCGAGCUCGCCGAGCGCGGGGAAGGGCGGGGCGCGGCCGGGCGGGACGCCGGGGGCGCGGGCGGCCGAGCUCGCCGGGCGCGGGGAAGGGCGGGGCGCGGCCAGGCGGGACGCCGGGGGGCGCGGGCUGGGCGGGGUCGCCGGGGCGGAGCCGGGCGAGGGCGACCGGGGCGCGAGACGGGGCGGGGUCGCCGGAGCGGGGCCGAGGACGGGGCGGUGUGCCGGGCGCCAUGGCCGCGAGCGCCAUGGCCGCGAGCGGCCGGGCCGAGCCGAGCGGCGGGGGCGCGACCGGCCGAGCCGGGGCCAAGGCGGGCGGCGCGGGGGAGGGCGCCGGGGAGAGGAGAGGGAGGAGGGAGAGGGAGGAGGAGGGAGGGGCCUCACCGGAGGGGAGAACGGCGGCGGCGGCGCGGGGGAGGGCGCCGGUUAGGGUUUGGGGAGAGAGAGGGAGAGGGGAUGACGAGCGGGGCCCGCAGGAGGAUUUUUGGAAAAAAGAAAAGAGGUGGGGGGGCGGCUGGGCCGGCUGGGCCCAAAGGGCGGGGAAGGGGGGCGCGCGGGUGGGCCGGCCGGGAGGCCCACGCGGGAGGGGAGGGGAGGCGGCUUGGUCCGGCCAGGAGGCCCACGCGGGGGGGAGAGGGGGGGCGGCUUGGGCCGAAAUGGGAAAGGGAGAGAGAGAAAAAGAAAAGGAUUUUCUUUUUCUAAAAUCUAAUUUUCUUUGGAUGAAUGCUUUCACAUUUUAAUCAAUCAAAAAAUAUGCAUGGUUUGGCAUGGUGCAUCACAGAAAAUAAAGUGUUUAAGGUUUUGCUUCACACGAGGUCUAAAGCCAAAACCCGCUGCGACUUUGGAAAAGAUCAAGGCUUAGCGAGAAGAAAAGGGAAAAAGGAAAGAGUAACGCCUGAAUUUGGUGAGAGAAAAGAAGAAAAAAUUCUACCCCCAAAUUCAGGGCGUUACAAUUUUGGGGUGGGCUGAGUUUCUUAUCCCAUUUGUUUUACUUCAGUUGGGUCAUAAUUAGGUUUUACCACUUUUGCAUUACAGUUUCUACUAUGUGAAUUAUAUGUCUUUAUAUCUUGUAUGAGCUUCAUGUUUCCCCUCCUUGUUAUGCUAGUUUUCAAAGGAGGUGCUGCCGGAUUUUUUUUUCUUGCUUUAUAUUCUUUCUUUAUUACAUCUCUUGUGUUGAGUAAGUUUAUGUGGAUGAGGUUUAUGGUAUUAUCCAUUCUGUGCGACCAGUGGGGUGUUACAGUUGGUAUCAAAGGAAUAGACUGUAGGUCCUAGCAAGUGGAGUAGUAAUAAAUUGACACACUGCACAUGUAGGAUGGGUUUUCUGUCUUGCUAUUGAUAUGAUUAUGUUAUUGUCUGUGCUAGUUUUGACAUUAUCUAGAGAGAUGCUAUGCUUAUCUCAUUUACUUAUUGUUCUCAUCCCUGUGGCUGCAGCUAUGCCGCCUCGUAGAGCUCAGGGUAGUCCGCAAGCUCCUAGUGGGGACUCGAUGAGUCCGGCGGCAAUGUUAGCCGCGAUGCAGGCCAUGCAGCAGGAGUUGGCCCUUCUGAGGCAAGCCAUUCCUGUCGCCCCUGCGGGUGCUGCUCAGGGUGCUCGAGGUGGAGAAGUGCCCGGGGGCGCUGUCCUUGCGGGUGCUGUUCCAGGUGGCGGGGCCGAGGUGCCUCUUCCAGUCAGUGGUCUUUCUCUGAUGCAGUGGAUGGGCAUGAAGUUGGAUUCUUUUGAUGGAAGUGGUACUCCGGUCGAGGCGGCAGAUUGGUUGACUUAUGUGGAGGAUAUGAUGAAUGUCUUCGAGAUUGCAUAUGGAGAUCGGGUUCGCUUUGGCACUCAGCUGCUGAAGGGAGAGGCGCAAAUUUGGUGGAGAGGCGUGCAAGCAGCGCACUCCUCCUCACCAGGAGUCCUAUCAUGGGAUGUUUUCAUCAGGCAGUUCGAAAGGAGAUUCUACCCGGUCACCUUUCUGGAGAAAAUGAAGAUUGACUUGCAGUCCUAUAAGCAGGAGAAGAAGUCUGUCACAGAGGAUGAGGUGGGCUUCAACAAGAUGGUCCGCUUUGUCCCUCAUGUGGCUUAUAAUGAGAUGGAGAAGUCGAGCCAAUUCCGUCAGGGUCUGAAGCCUUCUAUCAGGCAUGCACUGGGGGCCUUUCCGUUGGUGGACUUCCGUACCACGGUGGAGCAGGCGCUGGGUGUGGAGAUUGAAAGGGAAUUAGACUCACACCUAGUCCCUAAUUGAUUUUGGUGGUUGAAUUGCCCAACACAAAUAAUUGGACUAACUAGUUUGCUCUAGUGUAUAAGUUAUACAGGUGUAAAAGGUUCACACACAGCCAAUAAAAAGAUCAAGUUUUGGAUUCAACAAAGGAGCAAAGAGGCAACCGAAGGCACCUCUGGUCUGGGGGCACCGGACUGUCCGGUGUACACCGGACAGUGUCCGGUGCACCAGAGGACUCCAACUCGAACUCGCCACCUUCGGGAAUUUCUCAGGCCGGCGCGCUAUAAUUCACCGGACUGUCCGGUGUACACCGGACAGUGUCCGGUGCUCCAAUGAAGCGCGGCCUCCGGAACUCGCCAGCCUCGGGAACGCACAGCAGCUGCUCCGCUAUAAUUCACCGGACAUGUCCGGUGUGCACCGGACUGUCCGGUGAACCAGCAGAGCAACGGCUAGUCGGCGCCAACGGCUACCUGCGGCACAUUUAAUGCGCGCUCUGCGCGCGCAGAAGGCAGGCGCGCCCAUACUGGCGCACCGGACAAGGAACAGUAGAUGUCCGGUGUGCACCGGACACCCAGGCGGGCCCAGAAGUCAGAAGCUCCAACGGUCAGAAUCCAACGGCAGUGAUGACGUGGCGGGGGCACCGGACAUGUCCGGUGUGCACCGGACUGUCCGGUGCGCCAUCGAACAGACAGCCUCCCAACGGCCACUUUUGGUGGUUGGGGCUAUAAAUACCCCAACCACCCCACCAUUCAUUGCAUCCAAGUUUUCCACUUCCCAACUACUACAAGAGCUCUAGCAUUCAAUUCUAGACACACCUAAGAGAUCAAAUCCUCUCCAAAUUCCACACAACGCCAUAGUGACUAGAGAGAGUGAUUUGCUUGUGUUCUUCCGAGCUCUUGCUCUUGGAUUGCUUUCUUCUUUCUUGAUUCUUUCAUUGCGAUCAAACUCACUUGUAAUUGAGGCAAGAGACACCAAACUUGUGGUGGUCCUUGUGGGAACUUUGUGUUCCAAGUGAUUGAGAAGAGAAAGCUCACUCGGUCCGUGGGAUCGUUUGAGAGAGGGAAGGGUUGAAAGAGACCCGGCCUUUGUGGCCUCCUCAACGGGGAGUAGGUUUGCAAGAACUGAACCUCGGUAAAACAAAUCCGCGUGUCACACUCUUCAUUUGAUUGCGAUUUGUUUUCCACCCUCUCUCGCUGACUCGUUUCUUUAUUACUAACGCUAACCCAGCUUGUAGUUGUGUUUAUAUUUGUAAAUUUCAGUUUCGCCCUAUUCACCCCCCUCUAGGCGACUAUCAAUUGGUAUCAGAGCCGGUGCUUCAUUAGAGCCUAACCGCUCGAAGUGAUGUCGGGAGAUCACGCCAAGAAGGAGAUGGAGACCGGCGAAAAGCCCACUACAAGUCAUGGGAGCACUUCAUCGGAAGAGUCCCGCACCAAGAGGAGGGAGAAGAAGAAGAGCUCCUCCAACAAAGGGAAGGAGAAGAAAUCUUCUUCUCACCACAAAGAGAAGGAAAAAUCUUCUUCCCACAAGCCGCAUCGGAGUGGGGACAAGCAAAAGAGGAUGAGGAAAGUGGUCUACUACGAGACCGACACUUCAUCAACAUCGACCUCCGGCUCCGAUGCGCCCUCUGUAACUUCUAAACGCCAAGAGCGUAAGAAGUUUAGUAAGAUCCCCUUACACUACUCUCGUACAUCUAGACAUACUCCAUUACUUUCCGUUCCAUUAGGCAAACCGCCAACUUUUGACGGUGAAGAUUAUGCUAGGUGGAGUGAUUUAAUGAAAUUUCAUCUAACCUCACUCCACAAAAGUAUAUGGAAUGUUGUUGAGUUUGGAGCACAGGUACCAUCCAUAGGGGAUAAGGAUUAUGAUGAGGAUGAGGUGGCCCAAAUCGAGCACUUCAACUCUCAAGCAACAACAAUACUCCUCACCUCUUUAAGUAAAUAGGAGUAUAACAAAGUUCAAGGGUUGAAGAGCGCCAAGGAGGUUUGGGAUGUGCUCAAAACCGCGCAUGAGGGAGAUGAGCUCACAAAGAUCACCAAGCGGGAAACGAUCGAGGGGGACCUCGGUCGGUUCCGGCUUCGCAAAGGGGAGGAGCCACAAAACAUGUACAACCGGCUCAAGACCCUGGUGAACCAAGUGUGCAACCUCGGGAGCAAAAAGUGGGAUGACCACGAGGUGGUUAAGGUUAUUCUAAGAUCUCUUAUUUUCCUUAACCCUACUCAAGUUCAAUUAAUCCGUGGCAACCCAAGAUAUACACUAAUGACCCCCGAGGAAGUAAUCGGGAAUUUUGUAAGUUUUGAGUGCAUGAUCGAAGGCUCAAGGAAGAUCAACGAGCUUGAUGAUCCCUCCACAUCCGAAGCUCAACCCGUCGCAUUCAAGGCGACGGAGGAAAAGAAGGAGGAGUCUACACCAAGUCGACAACCAAUCGACACCUCCAAGCUCGAUAAUGAGGAAAUGGCGCUCGUCAUCAAGAGCUUCCGCCAAAUCCUCAAACAAAGGAGAGGGAAAGAUUACAAGUCCCGCUCCAAGAAGGUUUGCUACAAGUGUGGUAAGCCCGGUCACUUUAUAGCUAAAUGUCCAUUAUCAAGUGAUAGUGACAGGGGCGACGACAAGAAGGGAAGAAGAAAGGAGAAGAAGAGGUACUACAAGAAGAAGGGCAGCGAAGCCCAUGUUUGUCGGGAGUGGGACUCCGACGAAAGCUCAAGUGACUCCUCCGACGACGAGGACGCCGCCAACAUCGCCGUCACCAAAGGGCUUCUCUUCCCCAACGUCGGCCACAAGUACCUCAUGGCAAAGGACGGCAAAAAGAAGGUUAAAUCUAAAUCCUCCACUAAAUAUGAAUCCUCUAGUGAUGAUAAUGCUAGUGAUGAGGAAGAUAAUUUGCGUACUCUUUUUGCCAACCUCAACAUGCAACAAAAAGAAAAACUUAAUGAAUUGAUUAGUGCCAUCCAUGAAAAGGAUGAUCUCUUGGACACCCAAGAGGACUUCCUUAUUAAAGAAAAUAAGAAGCAUGUUAAGGUUAAAAAUGCUUAUGCUCUAGAAGUAGAAAAAUGUGGAAAAUUGUCUAGUGAGCUAAGUACUUGCCAUGAGACUAUAGACAACCUUAGAAAUGAAAAUGCUAAUUUACUAGCUAAGGUUGAUUCUAUUUCUUGUAAUGUUUCAAUUCCCAAUCUUAGAAAUGAUAAUGAUGAUUUACUUGCUAAGAUUGAAGAAUUAAACAUAUCUCUUGCUAGCCUUAGGGAUAAAAAUAAAAAAUUACUUGCUAAGGCUAAAGAUUUUGAUGUUUGCAAUACUACUAUUUCCGACCUUAGAAGUAAAAAUGAAAUAUUGCAUGCUAAGGUUGUAGAACUAAAAUCUUGCAAACCCUCUACAUCUACCGUUGAGCACACUUCUAUUUGUACUAGAUGUAGAGAUGUUAACAUUGAUGCUAUACAUGAUCACAUGGCUUUAAUUAAACAACAAAAAGAUCAUAUAGCUAAAUUAGAUGCUAAAAUUGUCGAGCAUAACUUAGAAAAUGAAAAAUUUAAAUUUGCUAGAAGUAUGCUCUAUAAUGGGAGACGCCCUGGCAUCAAGGAUGGCAUUGGCUUCCAAAGGGGAGACAAUGUCAAACUUAGUGCCCCUCCUAAAAGAUUGUCUAAUUUUGUAAAGGGCAAGGCUCCCAUGCCUCAGGAUAAUGAGGGUUACAUUUUGUACCCUGCUGGUUAUCCCGAGAGCAAGAUUAGGAGAAUUCACUCUAGGAAGUCUCACUCUGGCCCAAAUCAUGCUUUUAUGUAUAAGGGUGAGACAUCUAGCUCUAGGCAACCAACCCGUGCUAAGUUGCCUAAGAAGAAAACUCCUAAUGCAUCAAAUGAACAUAGCGUUUCAUUUAAAACUUUUGAUGCAUCUUAUGUGUUGACUAACAAAUCCGGCAAAGUAGUUGCCAAAUAUGUUGGGGGCAAGCACAAGGGGUCAGAGACUUGUGUUUGGGUACCCAAAGUUCUUGUGUCUAAUGCCAAAGGACCCAAAACCAUUUGGGUACCUAAAGUCAAGAACUAAACUUGUUUUGUAGGUUUAUGCAUCCGGGGGCUCAAGUUGGAUCAUCGACAGCGGGUGCACAAACCACAUGACAGGGGAGAAGAAAAUGUUCUCCUCCUAUGAGAAAAACCAAGCUCCCCAACGAGCUAUCACAUUCGGGGAUGGAAACCAAGGUUUAGUCAAAGGUCUUGGUAAAAUAGCUAUAUCACCUGACCAUUCCAUUUCCAAUGUUUUUCUUGUUGAUUCAUUAGAUUACAAUUUGCUUUCUGUAUCUCAAUUAUGCAAAAUGGGCUACAACUGUCUAUUUACUGAUGUAGGUGUCACUGUCUUUAGAAGAAGUGAUGAUUCAAUAGCAUUUAAGGGAGUGUUAGAGGGUCAGCUAUACUUGGUAGAUUUUGAUAGAGCUAAACUCGACACUUGCUUAAUUGCUAAGACUAACAUGGGCUGGCUCUGGCAUCGCCGACUAGCACAUGUUGGAAUGAAGAAUCUUCACAAGCUUCUAAAGGGAGAACACAUUUUAGGACUAACAAAUGUUCAUUUUGAGAAAGACAGGGUUUGUAGCGCAUGCCAGGCAGGAAAGCAAGUUGGAGCCCAUCAUCCACACAAGAACAUCAUGACGACCGACAGGCCGCUUGAGCUACUCCACAUGGAUCUAUUCGGCCCGAUUGCUUACAUAAGCAUCGGCGGGAGUAAGUAUUGUCUUGUAAUAGUGGAUGAUUAUUCUCGCUUCACUUGGGUGUUCUUUUUGCAGGAAAAAUCUCAAACCCAAGAGACCUUAAAGGGAUUCUUGAGACGGGCUCAAAAUGAGUUCGGAUUAAGGAUCAAGAAAAUUAGAAGCGACAACGGGACGGAGUUCAAGAACUCUCAAAUUGAAGGCUUCCUUGAGGAGGAGGGCAUCAAGCAUGAGUUCUCUUCUCCCUACACGCCACAACAAAAUGGUGUAGUGGAGAGGAAGAAUCAAACUCUAUUGGACAUGGCAAGGACCAUGCUUGAUGAAUACAAGACUUCGGAUCGGUUUUGGGCCGAGGCGGUCAACACCGCUUGCUACGCCAUCAACCGGUUAUAUCUUCACCGAAUCCUCAAGAAGACAUCAUAUGAACUCCUAACCGGUAAAAAGCCCAAUAUUUCAUAUUUUAGAGUCUUUGGUAGCAAAUGCUUUAUUCUUGUUAAAAGAGGUAGAAAAUCUAAAUUUGCUCCUAAGACUGUAGAAGGCUUUUUACUAGGAUAUGAUUCAAACACAAGGGCAUAUAGAGUCUUUAACAAGUCCACUGGACAAGUUGAAGUUUCUUGUGACGUUGUGUUUGAUGAGACUAACGUCUCUCAAGUAGAGCAAGUUGAUCUUGAUGAGAUAGGUAUUGAAGAGGCCCCAUGCGUCGCGCUAAGGAACAUGUCCAUUGGGGAUGUGUGUCCUAAGGAAUCCAAAGAGCCUCCAAAUGCACAAGAUCAACCAUCCUCCUCCAUGCAAGCAUCUCCACCGACUCAAAAUGAGGAUGAAGCUCAAAUUGAUGAAGUAGAAGAUAAAGCAAAUGAGCCACCUCAAGAUGACGACAAUGAUCAAGGGGGAGAUGCAAAUGAUCAAGACAAGGAGGAUGAAGAACCAAGGCCGCCACACCCAAGAGUCCAUCAAGCAAUCCAACGAGAUCACCCCGUCGACACCAUCCUCGGCGACAUUCAUAAGGGGGUAACCACUAGAUCUCGUGUUGCACAUUUUUGUGAACAUUACUCUUUUGUUUCCUCUAUUGAGCCACACAGGGUAGAGAAAGCACUCCAAGAUUCGGAUUGGGUGGUGGCAAUGCAAGAGGAGCUCAACAACUUCACCAGGAAUGAGGUAUGGCAUUUAGUUCCACGUCCUAACCAAAAUGUUGUAGGAACCAAAUGGGUCUUCCGCAACAAGCAAGAUGAGCAUGGUGUGGUGACAAGGAACAAAGCUCGACUUGUGGCCAAGGGAUACUCCCAAGUCGAAGGUUUGGAUUUCGGUGAAACCUAUGCACCCGUAGCUAGGCUUGAGUCAAUUCGUAUAUUAUUGGCCUAUGCUACUUACCAUGGCUUUAAGCUUUAUCAAAUGGACGUGAAAAGUGCCUUCCUCAAUGGACCAAUCAAGGAAGAGGUCUAUGUUGAGCAACCUCCCGGCUUUGAAGAUAGUAAGUACCCUAACCAUGUCUAUAAGCUCUCUAAGGCGCUUUAUGGGCUCAAGCAAGCCCCAAGAGCAUGGUAUGAAUGCCUUAGAGAUUUCCUUAUUGCUAAUGGCUUCAAAGUCGGAAAGGCCGAUCCUACACUCUUUACCAAAACACUUGAAAAUGACUUGUUUGUAUGCCAAAUUUAUGUUGAUGAUAUUAUAUUUGGGUCUACUAACGAGUCUACAUGUAAAGAGUUUAGCAGGAUCAUGACACAAAAAUUCGAGAUGUCAAUGAUGGGGGAGUUGAAGUAUUUCUUAGGAUUCCAAGUAAAGCAACUCCAAGAGGGCACCUUCAUUAGCCAAACAAAGUACACUCAAGACAUUCUAAACAAGUUUGGGAUGAAGGAUGCCAAACCUAUCAAGACACCCAUGGGAACCAAUGGGCAUCUCGACCUCGACACGGGAGGUAAGUCCGUGGAUCAAAAGGUAUACCGGUCGAUGAUAGGUUCUUUGCUAUAUUUAUGUGCAUCUCGACCGGAUAUUAUGCUUUCCGUGUGCAUGUGUGCAAGAUUCCAAGCCGACCCUAAGGAAGCUCACCUUACGGCCGUGAAACGAAUCUUGAGAUACUUGGCUUACACUCCUAAGUUUGGGCUUUGGUAUCCUAGGGGAUCCACAUUUGAUCUAAUUGGAUAUUCGGAUGCCGAUUGGGCGGGGUGCAAAAUCAAUAGGAAGAGCACAUCGGGGACUUGCCAGUUCUUGGGAAGAUCCUUGGUGUCUUGGGCUUCAAAGAAGCAAAAUUCGGUCGCUCUUUCCACCGCCGAAGCCGAGUAUAUUGCCGCAGGUCAUUGUUGCGCGCAAUUGCUUUGGAUGAGGCAAACCCUGCGGGACUACGGUUACAAAUUAACCAAAGUCCCUUUGCUAUGUGAUAAUGAGAGUGCAAUCAAGAUGGCGGAUAAUCCCGUCGAACACAGCCGCACUAAACACAUAGCCAUUCGGUAUCACUUUCUUAGGGAUCACCAACAAAAGGGAGAUAUCGAGAUUUCUUACAUUAAUACUAAAGAUCAAUUAGCCGAUAUCUUUACCAAGCCUCUUGAUAAACAAUCUUUUAACAAACUUAGGCAUGAGCUCAAUAUUCUUGAUUCGCGCAACUUCUUUUGCUAGAUUGCACACAUAGCUCAUUUGUAUACCUUUGAUCAUGUCUCUUUCAUAUGCUAUAACUAAUGUGUUUUCAAGUCUAUUUCAAACCAAGUCAUAGGUGUAUUGAAAGGGAAUUUGGAGUCUUCGGCGGAGACAAAGGCUUCCACUACGUAACUCAUCCUUCGCCAUCACUCCAAGCAACUCUUCAUUCUUGGGGGAGAAAGCAUGAGCACCAAGCAAAAGGACUCCAUCUUUGGUAUAAUCUUCACUCAUUUGUUUUGACCAAAGAGGGAGAAUGUAACUCGAGGGCUCUAAUGAUUCCGUUUUUGGCGAUUCAUGCCAAAGGGGGAGAAAGUAAGAGGCCCAAAGCAAAAGGACCGCACCACCACCAAUUUCAAAAAUUUCGUGUUUCCAAGAAUAUUAUAAAUUGGUAUCCUAUUGUGUUCAAAAGGGGGAGAAAAUAGUAUUUCAAAAUGAUAUAUCAAAACCCUCUUGAACACUAAGAGGAGGAUCUCAUGUAGGGGGAGUUUUGUUUAGUCAAAGAAGAAGCAUUUGAAACAGGGGGAGAAAAUUUCAAAUCUUGAAAAUGCUUUGCAAAACCUUAUUCAUUUACCUUUGACUAUUUGCAAAAGAACUUUGAAAAGGAUUUACAAAAAAAGUUUGCAAAAACAAAACAUGUGGUGCAAGCGUGGUCCAAAAUGUUAAAUAAGAAAGAAACAAUCCAUGCAUAUCUUGUAAGUAGUUAUAUUGGCUCAAUUCCAAGCAAUCUUUGCACUUACAUUAUGCAAACUAGUUCAAUUAUGCACUUCUAUAUUUGCUUUGGUUUGUGUUGGCAUCAAUCACCAAAAAGGGGGAGAUUGAAAGGGAAUUAGACUCACACCUAGUCCCUAAUUGAUUUUGGUGGUUGAAUUGCCCAACACAAAUAAUUGGACUAACUAGUUUGCUCUAGUGUAUAAGUUAUACAGGUGUAAAAGGUUCACACACAGCCAAUAAAAAGAUCAAGUUUUGGAUUCAACAAAGGAGCAAAGAGGCAACCGAAGGCACCUCUGGUCUGGGGGCACCGGACUGUCCGGUGUACACCGGACAGUGUCCGGUGCACCAGAAGACUCCAACUCGAACUCGCCACCUUCGGGAAUUUCUCAGGCCGGCGCACUAUAAUUCACCGGACUGUCCGGUGUACACCGGACAGUGUCCGGUGCUCCAAUGAAGCGCGGCCUCCGGAACUCGCCAGCCUCGGGAACGCACAGCAGCUGCUCCGCUAUAAUUCACCGGACAUGUCCGGUGUGCACCGGACUGUCCGGUGAACCAGCAGAGCAACGGCUAGUCGGCGCCAACGGCUACCUGCGGCACAUUUAAUGCGCGCUCUGUGCGCGCAGAAGGCAGGCGCGCCCAUACUGGCGCACCAGACAAGGAACAAUAGAUGUCCGGUGUGCACCGGACACCCAGGCGGGCCCAGAAGUCAGAAGCUCCAACGGUCAGAAUCCAACGGCAGUGAUGACGUGGCGGGGGCACUGGACAUGUCUGGUGUGCACCGGACUGUCCGGUGCGCCAUCGAACAGACAGCCUCCCAACGGCCACUUUUGGUGGUUGGGGCUAUAAAUACCCCAACCACCCCACCAUUCAUUGCAUCCAAGUUUUCCACUUCCCAACUACUACAAGAGCUCUAGCAUUCAAUUCUAGACACACCUAAGAGAUCAAAUCCUCUCCAAAUUCCACACAACGCCAUAGUGACUAGAGAGAGUGAUUUGCUUGUGUUCUUUCGAGCUCUUGCUCUUGGAUUGCUUUCUUCUUUCUUGAUUCUUUCAUUGCGAUCAAACUCACUUGUAAUUGAGGCAAGAGACACCAAACUUGUGGUGGUCCUUGUGGGAACUUUGUGUUCCAAGUGAUUGAGAAGAGAAAGCUCACUCGGUCUGUGGGAUCGUUUGAGAGAGGGAAGGGUUGAAAGAGACCCGGCCUUUGUGGCUUCCUCAACGGGGAGUAGGUUUGCAAGAACCGAACCUCGGUAAAACAAAUCCGCGUGUCACACUCUUCAUUUGAUUGCGAUUUGUUUUCCACCCUCUCUCGCGGACUCGUUUCUUUAUUACUAACGCUAACCCAGCUUGUAGUUGUGUUUAUAUUUGUAAAUUUCAGUUUCGCCCUAUUCACCCCCCCCUCUAGGCGACUAUCAGAGAUGCAACACCAGUACACCAUGGAGUCGCAGAAGUCUUCGGGUGUUGAUCAGCCUCGUAGCCAGGACACGAGGAGGGGCAACACUGGAGGUCCAGCUCACAAGAGGGGCAAGUCUCAGCAUCAGCGCCACCAUCCUUACCGUGGCAAAUCUUCUGACUCAGGUACUUCGGGAGGAAGUACUCAGAGGUUUCGGGCCGUUCCUAAGCCCGGGCUGGGGCUGGUGUGUUUCCGCUGUGGAGAUGCGCAUCGCCGUGCAGAGUGCCAGUGGAGUGGCAGGUGUUCUAUCUGCAGUCAGGACCACAAAGAUGUGGUGUGUAGGAGGAAUCCCAAUGGGAAGCUCAGAUGGGAGCCAGUAACUUCCUCCUCUUCUCAGGGCACUAUCAAUAUGAUGUCGAGUGCUGAGCAGCAGUUUUCAGUUCCUCUUCCUCCACAACAGCUUUUUGUGCCUGGGACUUCUCAGUUCGUGCCGAUGCAAGGUUUUCCUCAGUAUCAGGCUGUGCCUACUCCUGCACCGUCUACACCUGUGCUGACUCAGUUUGGAGCUCCGCGCCAGCCUCCUCCGGUGGCUCAGUGGGGUUCUUCUGUUAAUUUCACUCCGGGAGCUUCCUCUUCUGCGGGUAUUUCUGGAGCUUAUGUGCUACCCGCUACGGAUGGCAGGGAGCAAGGAGACGUGGUGACAGGUACGAUUUCAGUUGAUUCAUUUGCAGCCCAUGCUCUUUUUGACUCUGGCGCUAGCUAUUCGUUUGUUUCGGAGGAUUUUGUGUCACGGGUUGGUCUUUCGGUGCAGAGGUUGGGUCACCCAAUUUUGGUCAAUUCCGCUAAUGGCUCCAUUAGUAGCUGUUCAGUUUGUCAGGGGUGUUCCGUCAUUCUUGCUGAUGAGGUUUUUUCGGCCAAUCUGGUGGUGAUUUCCUUGGGGGCAUUCGAUGUUAUCUUGGGUAUGGAUUGGUUAUCCCAGUAUCGCGCGGUUAUAUCCUGCUUCUGGAAGACAGUGUUAUUGCAGGCGCCAUCGGGUAAGGAGGUGGUAUUCUUGGGAAGUUCCCCGAAGUUCACAUUAUCCUUGUUGGCGCAAUUGCUUCUUGAUCGCUGGUCAAGGAAGUCGGGGAUCUUUUUCUCUAUGGUGGUGGAGGGUGAGGCUGCCUUGUGGGUGCAGGACAUCCGGGUGGUGUGUGACUUUGCUGACGUGUUUCCGGCAGAGCUUCCAGGCAUUCAUCCGGAGUGCGAUGCAGCUUUUGAGAUUAAGCUGAUCCCAGGUACGCAGCCUAUUCAUAAGGCCCUGUAUCGAAUGGCUCCAAAGGAGCAGAUUGAAUUAAAGCGGCAAUUGGAUGAUCUAUUGGCUAAGGGCUUCAUUAGGCCUAGCAGGUCUCCAUGGGCUUCCCCAGUAUUGUUUGUUGAGAAGAAGGAUAAAAGCAAGCGGUUGUGUGUGGAUUAUCGCGCUUUGAAUCAAGUGACAAUCAAGAAUAAAUAUCCGCUUCCCCGAAUUGAGGUCCUCUUUGAACAGUUGAGGGGUGCCCAGGUGUUCUCCAAAAUUGAUUUGAACUCAGGUUAUCAUCAAUUGAGGAUUCGUGAGGAGGAUAUUGAGAAGACUGCCUUCUGCACCAGGUAUGGGCAUUAUGAGUUCAUAGUCAUGUCUUUUGGCUUAACUAAUGCCCCUGCUGCCUUUAUGGAAGCAAUGAAUAGGAUGCUGCAUGAAUUCCUGGACGAUUUUGUGGUCGUAUUCCUGGAUGAUAUUUUGAUUUAUUCAAAGACCGAGGCCGAGCAUGAACAGCAUCUCCGUCUCGUUCUGGGUGCCCUAAGGAAGAAUCAAUUCUAUGGCAAGUUGAAGAAGUGUGCCUUUUGGCUUUCCGAAGUGGCUUUCCUGGGGCACGUGAUUAAUCAGCAGGGUAUUGCGGUUGAUCCCAAGAAUGUUGCGGCUGUGGUGGAGUGGAGGAGACCUUCUAGUGUCUCUGAAAUCCGAAGUUUCUUGGGGCUUGCUGGGUAUUAUCGGCGCUUCGUACCAAAUUUUUCCAGCAUUGCUAAGCCUUUGACUAGGCUCUUGGAGAAGGGUGUUCCCUUCGUCUGGUCCGGCGAAUGUGAGGUCAGUUAUCAGUCAUUGAAGAGCAAGUUGGUGGACGCCCCUAUCCUAGCUUUGCCUGAGAGCGGUAAGCGUUUCACAGUUUAUACAGAUGCUUCGCGUAUCGGUCUUGGCUGUGUGCUGAUGCAGGAAGGCAGAGUGAUUGCUUAUGGCUCAAGGCAGUUGAGGAAGCAUGAGGGGAAUUAUCCAACUCAUGAUCUGGAAUUGGCUGUGGUGGUUUUUGCUCUAAAGUCGUGGAGGCAUUACCUUUAUGGCGAGGCUUGUGACAUUUUCACCGAUCACAAAACUCUCAAGUAUAUUUUUACUCGGAAGGAGCUGAAUUUGAGGCAACGUCGGUGGCUAGAAUUGAUUAAAGACUAUGAUUUGUCCAUUCAUUAUCACCCGGGGAAGGCUAAUGUAGUGGCGGAUGCCCUUAGCAGGUCCGGGGUUCCAAAGGUGGCCUUGCCGUUGGUCGCUGAUCUGGACCGUUUGGGGAUCGCUUUGUGUUAUGUCGGCACCGCUAGCGAGGAGACUCAGAUGCUUAUUCAAUCCUCUCUUAUGGAGAGAGUGCGUGCGGCUCAGCUGCAGGAUCGUCUUUUGCAGGAAGCUCGAAAGAGGGUUGGUGAUGUUAAACCGCGGGAGUUCACCAUUGAUGAGAAUUAUUUGGUUCGUUUCAGGGGCCGUCUUUGUGUGCCUCAGAAAUCAGAGGUGAAGCUGGUUAUCCUGCGAGAAGCUCAUAAAACGCCUUACACCGUCCAUCCUGGCGAAACCAAAAUGUACCGAGAUUUGAAGCAAAACUUCUGGUGGAAGCGGAUGAAGGUUGACAUUUCUAAGUAUGUGGCCGCCUGUGAAGUAUUUCAGCGCGUGAAGGCCGAACAUAAGCGGCCUGCAGGUUUGCUGAAGCCAUUGGAAAUUCCAGAGUGGAAAUGGGAGCAUAUCACCAUGGAUUUUGUGGUGGGUCUACCUCGUUCCCCUCGUGGCAGGGAUGCUAUUUGGGUGGUAGUGGAUCGCUUGACUAAGUCUGCGCAUUUUAUUCCCAUGAAGACCACAAAUUCAGCUUCAGAUUUGGUUCCCUUGUAUAUGAAGGAAGUUGUCAGGCUUCACGGGGUACCUAAGUCUAUUGUUUCUGAUCGAGACUCCAAAUUUGUAUCCAAAUUCUGGGAGAGUCUCCAUAAUGCAUUGGGCACCAAGCUUUCGCUUAGUGUCGCUUUUCACCCUCAGACGGAUGGUCAGUCAGAGCGAACAAUCCAAACCUUGGAGGAUAUGUUGCGUGCUUGUGUUCUGUCAUGGAAGGGUAGCUGGGAGGAUCAUCUUGCUCUGGCAGAGUUUGCGUAUAACAACAGCUACCAAGCUAGCAUCAAGAUGGCACCAUUUGAGGCUUUGUAUGGCAGGCGGUGUAUCUCUCCUCUGUGAUGGGAGACUUUGGGAGAGAGAUCCCUGGUUGGUCCUGAUUGGGUUCAGCAAACUUCUGAAAAGGUUCGGGAAAUUCGUCAGAAUGUUUUGGCAGCUCAGAGUCAUCAGAAGAGUUAUGCUGAUGUGAGGAGGCGGGAUCUGGAAUUUGCUGUGGGUGACCAAGUCCUUCUCAGGGUAUCACCCACUAAGGGAGUUGUUCGGUUCGGUGUCUCUAGGAAGCUCAGCCCGAGAUACAUUGGACCGUUCACUAUCUUGGCCCGAGUGGGCAGCCUGGCUUAUCGUUUGCUGCUGCCGGAUUCCAUGGCAGGGGUACACUCGGUUUUUCAUGUCUCUAUGUUGAGGAAGUUCUUGCGGGAUCCGGACCAUCAGAUUGAGAUGGAACCAAUUGCGGUACAGCAGGAUCUGACUCUGGAGUGUCAUCCGGUGCGUAUAUUGGAAUUCUCGGAGCGUGUGUUGAGGAAGAGAUCAAUUAAGUAUGUCAAGGUCUUAUGGACUAAUCAGUCUGAGCGCGAGGCUACGUGGGAACUUGAGGAGCUGAUGCGGCAGAAGUACCCGAAACUUUUCGUUGUGGGUAAGUGUUGUUGAUUCACUAAUCUUUUCUUUUGUCAUUCCGAUAGAAGCGUCAGAAUUCGAGGUCGAAUUCUUUUUAAGAGGGGUAGAGUGUGAUACCCGGUUUGCAAAGAAGAGAAGUUGGGGGUUGUUCUUUUUGUUUUUUUCCUCAUCCGGUUGUUGUUUUGGGGAUUUGGAAUUUUGUGGAAAACAUUCACAACUAGGGCAGUAGAAUUUAUUUGGUUUGACGCUAGCGUUGUGGUCGGGAGCUGUCGCGUGGGUUAGUUGGGCCGCAAUAGGUGUUUCGGCCCAUUAACCCUCCCAAACCCUAGCCGCCUCCCUCCUAACCCCCUCCCCCCAUGUGCAGCCCCCCCCCCACUUCUCCUCCUCCCCUUGGCCGGCGCCCCCCCUGCCCAUCUCCUCCUCUCUCAAUUUUUGCAGCCACCAAACCCUAGCCGCCGCCCCCCCCCCCCCCCCCCUCAAUCCCCUCCUCCCAAGGUGCCAAUCCUUGCCGCUCGGAUCGUCGUCUCGUGGUGCGAUUCUCCAACCGUUUUGGUGGAGGGAAGAAGGGAGGAAGGAAAGGGGGAGAACCCAAGGUGAUUUUUGUGUUCAUCCCUUGUUCAUUUGCGCUGCGAUUCAAUUGAUUAGAUGUUGCGUUUGCGAUUAGAUAGAGGGGGGCUGUCCAGAAUUUUACGUGGUGGAUGAACAGCGAAAGUUCUAGCAGUUUUUAGGGUUUUUUCGUGAAGAAUUAAUGGGGAUCAAUUUGGGGAUCUUGUAGAACUUUGUUUUACCUUUCCAACGAGUAUUUAUGCGCUCAAUUUGGGGUUAUAAAUUAAAAGUUAUCAUCGUUUGAAUCCGGGUGUGUGGCUGUCCAAAAAAACAGAUUUUUCAGAGUGAUGAACAGCAGCAGUAUUAGCAGUUUCUGGGGAUUUUUCGGGAGUAAUUAGUGUUAAUCAGUAUGAGAAUCAUGUAGGGCUUUUUCUUAUCUUUCCAACAAGUACUUAUGCGCUCAAAUCGGAAUUAUAUUUUAAAAGUUAUCGCUGUUUGAAUCCGAGUAUGUCGCUGCCCAAAUCAGAAAAAAAAAAACAGAUUGCAGGGUUUAUUUUGUGGACCGUUUAGAGGUAAUUAGAUGUUAGAAUUUAAUCAUGAGUUGUAUACAAAACUUGUGGGGAAUUUUAUGUAGUUGUCUCUGAAGUUUUUGUUUGACACCACUGCUGUCCUAAUUUUUAAGUUAUGGAAUUGUUAAGCAGCGCCGCUGCAGUUUGGUUAGUGAGGGGAGAAUUGUUACCGCGGCGGGGUUUGAGAUUGUGCGUAGGUGCGGUGUUGUCUUUGAGUUUUUUUAUAUGAAUUUGGUGCACUAAGUUGGGUGUCAAAAACAGGUGGUGGACUUCCGGAUCGUUCUUAGGGAUUUUGCCCAAACUUCGGUGAAGGCAAGUAAAACUGUGAUGGUUAUUCCGUCGGUCAGAUGAGGAGUCUUAUACUUGUUUAUGUUGUGCUAUCAUGUUCAAAUUCAUAUUUUCUUUUGAGUACCAUCAUUUGAAAAUGUUCAUGAUUCAUGGACUUCAUAUGUUGAGUUUGAGGUUUGAUUAUGUUACUCAAGUGGUUAUUAUGUGGAAUGGUUGGAAGUAAAUGCCUAGCACAUUUUUAUUUGGGAAGAACUUAUGAUGUUGUCAUGCAUAAUGCACUCAUCAUCCAUUGCAUUGAAGUUUCGUCGCGAUCUUAUGGUCCGACCGUACCGGUACAUUGAGCAUCAUAUGUUGCCCGAGAAGGGGUAUGGUGCAGCUUCAUAUCCUUAGAGAUAUGGAGGCAGAAGUCAUUAUUGCAUUUGUAGCCAUGUGCAUUCAUGGGAGAGGUGUUGAAUCUAUUAUGUGGAUGUGGAUAAUUUGGACUUGUGCAUGGUGAUUCUACUUGGCGUUGAGUUUUUAGUUACUUGUAUACUUGCUGCAAUUUACUGUUCAAAAGAAAAGAAAGAAGUCCUGAAACACGUGGUUGUGUAAGCACAGUUGAUUUACAAUGGCCUACUUGUUGUUGUUAUGUUUACUUGCUGAGAUGUGUUAUCUCACAUCUUGCAUUGUUUGAUGCAGGCACCUAAUUUCUGCUUUGGGAAAUAAAGGGGAUGUAGCAGCACGGCCACUACACCUUUAAUAAAGGAACCACCAUUUAAUAAUGUUGAUAAUCAGAGUUGGACAAGUCUAGUGAAUUGCUUUGUUCUUGGUUGAGCGUUUAUUUUGGGGUGGGCUGAGUUUCUUAUCCCAUUUGUUUUACUUCAGUUGGGUCAUAAUUAGGUUUUACCACUUUUGCAUUACAGUUUCUACUAUGUGAAUUAUAUGUCUUUAUAUCUUGUAUGAGCUUCAUGUUUCCCCUCCUUGUUAUGCUAGUUUUCAAAGGAGGUGCUGCCGGAUUUUUUUUCUUGCUUUAUAUUCUUUCUUUAUUACAUCUCUUGUGUUGAGUAAGUUUAUGUGGAUGAGGUUUAUGGUAUUAUCCAUUCUGUGCGACCAGUGGGGUGUUACAGAAAUUGUACAAGUAAUGCAUGCAAAUGGUGAAGACAGAAGUUUUAUCUCAUGAGUAGAAAGCUCAUGUUAUGUAGCACGAAUGAACACCUUAGCUUCGACCUUCAAAGAACGACCAACGCACGUUAAGGAUGGCCCUACAUCUAGAAUGAGCAUGUACUAUCAUAUAUUUCAAUUAGUCAUAAAAAAUAUGUAUUCUAUUAAAAUGUAGCCACACAUGAUAAAGUUAGGAUUGCGUAGGAGGUACAUGGACAACACAACAUUCAUGGAUUCUUUUGUAAAAAAUGAAGGCGUAUCAAAUAUUUCAUUAGGCACUUAUUAUAUAACUUGUCAAUCCAUUUCUUAACUAUUCUCUUUUAAACAACAACGAAGUCUCACUCUAGCUAUAUAUGGAGAUGGAGAAGAUGGAGAAGGAGGAUGACGCCAUUAUUGUUGGCGCCAGCAUCACUGUCGUAAUAGGGUAGUGGUAGCAAAUAGAUAUCACGGUCCAAUGCAUGCAUGUGUAAUGCAUUGCUUGGGAUCCAACCCAAUCUAGUAUAGCUAGCAUAGGCCGACUUAAAGUAUUGUCAGCACUAAAGUUAAUUAUUUGGCGGUGUAGGCGGUGUUGGCCUUCCAGUUGGCAGGGAUGACAUCGUCGUAGACGGUCUUGGUGCCUCCCUCGGUAGUGAGGCGGACGGUGAGGGGUCCCUUAAGCGGUUUGUCGCUGUCCUUCCUCCAGAUGGCGCCCCAGGAGUGCUUGAGGGGCUCGUACGUGUCGGAGCCCUUUUCCUUGACGUCCACCGCCACAAUGUCACCGUCGCCGUCGACGUAGUUGACUAGCAACGCCAGGUAGUUGGGGCCGCACCCCUUUUCAAGGUGGAAGGUGACCUUGGAGCCGUACUUGCACUUGACCCUUCGGAACUGCAUGUCGAUGAUGCCCGCCUUGCGCAGCUUCUCCUCCUCGCCAUUCUUGGCCAUGGCACCGAACGCCGUGCCUGCCAAAUCGAAGUGGUACGCCGCGAUAGGCUCAUAGUUCAUGUCCGUGAUGUGCACCACCACGGGCUUGCCGGAGCACUCCACAGGCUUAUCGCACUUGAUCUCAAAGCAGGACCCACAACCCAGACCAUCCUUGAAGAUGGGGAUGUUGCCGCACGCGCCCAUGCUAUUGAAGGGGGGCUUGUUCACGUCCUUGUACCCGCAGCCGCCGCCGUUGUCAUCGGGACCGGCACCCGUCGGCUUGCCAUACCAUGUCGCUUUAGCGUCCAGCCAGUCCUUGCCAUAGGUGGCUGUGAUGUUCUUGCCAGGGGGGACCUUGGGAGGACCGCACCAGGCGCCGCUCACCAAGAACGCCAACGCCAUAGCCAUCGCCACCUGUGCCUGCAUCGACGACCACAUGGUGCUUACAUUCACAGCCAUGUUUUGUCUUGGAUCAGUGAAUGGUACUAUGCUACGAUGAAUGAGCGGGUAGGCCUGAAUUUAUGGUUGUGUGUGCCAACAGUCG
RNAcentral lists this long non-coding RNA (77885 nucleotides) under Zea mays. RNAcentral's name for it is "long non-coding RNA (ZMAY_LNC003457)". The record is from RNAcentral. Lineage: Eukaryota; Viridiplantae; Streptophyta; Magnoliopsida; Poales; Poaceae.